ACUUUAAUGUAUUAUAAUUCCUGGCUAGAAUCGCUUAAAUUGUUGCAAUUUCUACAACUUAAUUAAUAAAUUAACUGAAUAUUAAUGUGUCACUAAUGUAUAAAUAAUGUGACAGUGUUGUAAUUGAUAACAGAAUAAUAAUUAAGUAUGUCGCAGUACUCUUCCACAUCAGGUAUUGAUAUUUAGACAUUUAUUCGAUCACUUGAGCCAGAAAAUUAUAAUAAAUUAAAGUUUGAGAACCAAAAUAUCAUAUGCCUGAUAAUUUGAUAUUCCAAAGUAUAAUUUAUUUGGUGAAAGUUUGGAAAUAGACUUUUCAAGGCCUCAAAAUGUAAUUCAGGGUAUAAUGUAUUAUCUAAAAGAAAUUGAAAGCUAUGAGGAGGCCCGCGGGCCGUAACGGGCCGGCACCGCCUGGCCUAAUCCAGUUCUAAAUCUGGACCGUGCGAUGCCGGGCUCGUGCCGAUCUUUAUAUUUUUUUAUAUUUAAUUUUAUUUAAAUUUAAAAAUUAAAAGAAUUAAGAAGACCAAAAUACUUCCCCGACUUUUUUCUGAAUAUUUUUUAUUUUUUUAUUUUACUUUUAAUUCUUUUUUCUAUAUUAGUAUAUUAUAAAAUAUAUAAAUAUUUAUUUAAAAAUUUAUUUAUAUAAUUUUUUUAAUAAUUUUAAUUUAUUUAGUAGAGAAUAUAUAUAUAAAGUAUAAGACAGCUACAACCGGAUCUGUUUUGCACCCCUUAGGCUUCGUUUGGGAUUGCAGGGAGAUUGCCUAUUUGUUCGCGUACAUAAUAUUAUAUUCUGCAUAUCGCGAUGAGUCGAUCGGUUACGACGGUCCCAUCAGAGAACACAGAAGCAUACCCUAAUAAACUUUUAUCCCAACUCUAUUUUAUCUAAUAGUGUAAGAUGGGCGUCACUAUCAAACUAAGUCUUAGGAGUUGGGGGAACACUCACAGCAAGCAACGGGGGAGCGGCCACACUUGGCGGGCAAUUUGCUGAUGAUGCCGAGAGUGCUGCAGGCGCAGUCGUGGCUGACGGCCCCUAAGGCGGAGCAGCACUGCUUGCUGGGCUGGCCGGAGGAGACGCCCGGGACGACGUAGGGAGCGCAGUUGACGAGCCCGGCCAGCUGCGUCGAGCAGUUCUGCGCCACCGCCGCCGUCGGAACCCGUGCGGCCACCACCACGAGCAGGACCGCCACGGCGACAGCGACUUUCGAAGAGCGCGCAUUGUAAAUGGCCAUGCCUAGCUAGUGAUAAUCAGUUUUUUCUUUCUUUAAAAAAAAAAAAAAUUAUGGUGUUUUGGUAGCAGAUACAUGAGCUGCUUGUGAGUAGAGGUAUUUAUAGGAGAUGUGUGGGGGUGGUCAUGACUGUUGAGGACGGCGUGGCCUAACUACUGUCAGCUGAAAGGAGCAGGAAAUUAUUGCCUCCACCAGGUGUAGAAAUACAUCUCAUUUCCCUGCACCUCUAAAAUUCGCACUUAUUGAAAUAAGGAUUUAAGUGCCUAUCGACAUGGAUCGUAUCUACCGUGCCGUACCGUGCUAAGAAGAUAUCGACACAGCCCACGUGCCGAUGAUACAGUUCAAAGCUUUCUAUUUUUUAAAUUAAUAAGUAAUUUUCUUAAUAAAGUUCAAAAGAUUUAAUAAAAAUACAUAAUAAAUAGUUAGAACAUUUUAUUGUUAAAGAAUAUAAAUAUUUCAUACAAUUAUAUGUCAAUAUACAUAAAUUUUUUGUGAUUGGCACGCAUCAGCACGGUCCGGCACGCAUCGUGCCGUACCGUGCUAGUAAGUUUCCGACACGACCUCAUACUACGGUACUUAAAUCCUUGUAUUGAAAUGUAUUUCUAUAAUAUUUAAUUAAAAGGUAAAUUUUAAAUUGUCCUCCUACAGUUUAGCUUAUUUUUACUUUGUCACUUUGUAUUUAAAACAUUUCACCUUACUCUCAUGUGGUUUGAUAUAUUUUAGCUAAAAAGUAAAAUAAUUCUAUGUAAAAUAGACCGGCAAGGAAAAAAAAUUAAAAAAAAAAAAACAAAGGGUGGUAAAGUGAAUAAUAAGCUAAACUAUAGGCCGGUAAAGUGCAACUUUUUGAACUAUGCAUGGAAUGAUAAAGUGAAAAUAAACUAAACCAUAGGGAGUAAAAUAAAAUUUUUUUAACCACGGGUGGCAAAGUGAAAAUCAAAUAAGCUAAACCAUGGUAGGGCAAUUUGAAGUUUACCUAUAUAAAUUUAUGCGAUGAUUUACAUAUUGAAAAAAAAAAAAAAAGAAUUACUUAGAUGCCGAUAUAGUUUAUACAUUUUUCAAAACAUAUGAUAUUUUUUUUUAAUACAUUAUGUCUUUAGAUAUUGCAGAUUAUAUCUGUCGAAUUAAAAUUUUAAUUGAUCUUAAAAUAACAAUCAUCAAACUACGUAAUUGUCACGCACUUGGUUCAGACAAUAUUUUCUUUGAAAGGAAAGGGGGUGAAUAGCAAGUGUGUGAGUCACCAAACACCUAAUGGUAGUGUUUUUAUAUGUACGUAAUACAUGAAGCUAAAAUGAUAGAGUGGUAACAUUGAUCUUGGUGAGUUGCUACGAAGAACUAGGCAUGGACAUUGCGUGGGAAAGAGGAUGAAAAGAAAAAGAAAAAGAAAAAGAAACCUACGAGGAGGCUUUCCGGAAUGAGAUAAGGGUAUCAGCAUUGUCGAACAGUUCGCGAGCGUCAAUUUUACAAAACUUCGAUCUACUAGAAUGGGAUUUUCUUUCGCUAGUUAGAACUUAGAAUAGCCACCACUAUAAGAAAAUUAGCAUUUAAUGAUGUUUAUAUAUAUAUAUAUAUAUAUAUAUAUAUAUAUAUAUAUAUAUAUAUAUAUAGAGUGAGGCUACUAUGCUAUCGGAAGUACGGAGCCUUCCGUGCUUCCAGCUCGUUUUCGAUGUUGCNAUAUAUAUAUAUAUAUAGAGUGAGGCUACUAUGCUAUCGGAAGUACGGAGCCUUCCGUGCUUCCAGUUUGUUUUCGAUUUUGCGACUUUCAAAUUGUCGAUCGACUCCGUUAAAUUUGAUCUAGAGUAUUUGGACUACAUAGAAAAUAAAUUUUAUUAUUUUUCGAUAUCAUUUGCCUAAUGAUCGAAUGGGCUGAAAAUCAACAAAUUUCAAUGGUCGUAGUGAGCCGUUUGCAAGUUUAACGAUCUCCUAUACUAUCUAUGUACCGGGGUUCCGCUACUAUAGUCUCGUUUUCGAUCUUAAGAUGUUCAAAUUAACGAUCCACAUCGUUAAAACUAAUCUAGGGUAUUUAAAGUUUUUAGAAAUAAAAUUUUAUAUUUUUUCGACAUAGUUUACUUUAUGAUCAAACCAUUUUAAAAUUGUUAAUUUUUAAUGACUAUUAUGGUGAGUUUGGAGUUUAACGGUGUAGAAGAAUUUAAAUUUCUUCACAUUUUGAUAGAAAAUAUUUUAAACUAUCUAGAUUAAGGUUAACAUUCUUGAUCUUGAAUUUAAGAGUCCUAUACUCAAAUUUUAAAUGUUAUUCAAUUUUCACUGUCCAUUUCGAUAUAAUUUAUUUAAUGAUAUCGAAAAAAACUAAAAUUUUAUUCCUCUAGAUCAUAUUUAAUGGUGUGGAUCGUUAAUUUGAACACUCUAAAAUCGAAAACAAGACUAUAGUACCGGAGCUCCAGUACUAUAGAUAGCAGGAGCCUAUAUAUAUAUAUAUAUAUAUAUAUAUAUAAUAUACUUAGAUCUCUCAUCGAGUCCGGCUACUAUACUUUUCAUGAGUAUUGGCUCCCUUUACUCAUAAGUUUUCGGCCCUUAGAUUUAUUCACUGAUCAUUUCCACCCGUUAGAUAUACUAAUCAACCAACUACACUCAACCCUAGGGCACUAUCAUUUUAAGUGUGGACCACCAUCAUCCUAACCACACUACACAUCAAUCAAUGGUUAAAAUUUAUGAGUACAAGGGGGCUAUACUCAUAAGAGUAUAGUAGCACCAGCUUAUAUAUAUAUUAUAUAUAUAUAUUAUAUAUAGAGUUGAGCUAGAAUACUCUCAGAGCAACAGAGAGUGUGGUGUUUUAAGUUUUUAACCAUUAGAAGAGAGAUGUAGGUUGAGAUGAUAAUGUAGGUGGUGGUAGGUGGUAGUAGGUGGAAUAGUAUUUGAUCCAAGAGUAUUAGUAAUUAAGGAGUAGAUCCAAGGCUAGAAACUUAGAAGCACAAUGGGUUGAUGCUUCUAAAAGUAUUCUAGCUCAAUUAUUAUAUAUUAUAUAUAUAUAUAUAUAUAUAUAUAUAUAUUAUUCGAGCUUUCGAGCUUUUCGAGCCUAAUUCGAACGAGCCGAGUAAUACUUCAAGCUCGCGGCUUGAAAUGAAUUUCGAGCCUUUUAUUUUGUUCAAGCUCGGCUCAUUAAUUCGAGCGAGCUCGAGCGAGCCGAAUAUCGAGCCGAACACGAGUCGAACGCCAGCCGGCUCGCUCGUUUGCCGGCCCUAAUAAGGGAUGAUCCUCUCAUGUUGCAUUAACAUGCAAUAUUCCUUCGUACCUAUCACUCCAAACAUUCUUGAUCCCUUUAUAUGUUAGAUGAGUGAGAGGAGCGAAGAUCUUUGCAAAGUCAUCGAGUAGGCACCACUUUACCGACUUCGAUUUGAAGUACACGCCUCUACCGUAGAAUAAAACUGGGACACCCUAUCGAUGUCUCCCGCCACAGUCCUGACGUAAGCAAAGUUCUAUUCAAAACCGUAAUUAGCUCAAACCCACUAAUUACAAAAGCUAUGAUUCCAAGUGAAUUCAAACAGUCGAACAAUUGGGUUUCGGGAUCCCAUUCCACGAUCGCCGAAAGAUCACCUGAUUGUCACACCGACUCUUCGGAAUGUCACCCCAACCCACGAGAUGUCCCGAAAUAAGUUCCACACUUAUCCUACCUCUUCCGCUGUCCCAACACAUCAAUGUAAUGCUAUUGGGCAGCUGCACAAGUGCCAAAACAAAAAACUGAGGUCUCGAAACUCACCACUUUAAUUGGCUCCUGAAAUGCCCAUUCUGGCGCCGAAACCACCCGCAGCCCUCCUGUUGUGACCAAAGAUACUGUCAAACCUCACACUAAAACCGGUCAAUAAGGCUCAUACUUUGCUGCGAAUAGUAGCAACCUGCGCGACAAGAAACAACGCCUGAAAUUGCUCGAUUUCAGUAUUUGAGGGCUCGGAUUAGCGCUAAAGUUUUCCGAAACACUCUAUGAUUCACUUGACCAACUUCACUAUCCCAAAACACUCACUUUUGAGUGUCGGGGCAGCCAUACACUAAGUGGUGCGAUCCGGGCACGAAAUCCUCAAAAUCCAUUGUACCAGGUCCCGAAAAUCAUGGUUUGCAGUUUCGGAACCCACCUGGGGUCCUUCGCUGGUUUGUCCAACGAGGCUUCUCUACCACUGCAAGCAGCAGCUAAACCCGCUCUACGAAAACGGAGCCUUAAUAAUAAUAAUUAAAUAAUACCAUUGAAACUAAAAAAUGUAUAAUGUAACAAAAGAAAAAAACACUACAAGCUAUUUUUGAAAAAUAUUUUAAGAUAAAGGUUAAUUUUUUAUGAUCAAUGGCUUAAAAUCAAAAUGUUAUGGAUUGUUUUGAUUUAUAAUAUGUAACUACAAGUAUGGUGACCCACACGUUGCAGCGGGUAGGUAUUGAUGAAAUGAGAAUAUAAAACAAUAUCCUAUAAUAUUAUAAAAAAGAGAAGGAAUUAGAGACAUAUCCUUUUCAGAUUUAUUUAGUAGAUAUAAUGCAGUGACACGAACUUUAUAACGAGUAAAUACUAUUGUAAAACUAAAAAUAUGUAAUUUACUAAGCAAACAAAAAAAAUAAAAUAUAAAAAAAAUUAAUAUUUUUACUUAAUGUAUAAAUUCAAUCUAUAUUCAAACCAUAGGCAGCAUUAAUUCAUGGGUAGAAAAAACAACAAAAUGACAACACAUCGGAUAACGGGCAGCAUUCAUAACGAUGAUGGUCCAUUUUCGGUCAACAAAAAAGAAAAUGGAGAAAAAAGUAAAAAAACAACCAAUUUGAGAAAAAACAAUUAAAAAGAUCGAGAUGAGGAAUAUUCCUUUUGUAUAUUGUUGAUGAAAUGAUAGAGCUUAUUUAUUGUGAAUAAAGUAGAUUAUAUAUUAUAAUCAACAUAAGAGUUUUCAGAGCAUUUCUUCUUUUUCUAAAAUCUCAAGCUAAAAUAAUGCAUUUCUCAAACUAUUUGUAUAUUCCUCUUUUCUUAAAAAAAACUCAAACCAAUAUAAUAACUCAUUUUAUGUUUAAUAAUUAAAUAAAAAGAGAGAAAGAGAAAAUAAAUGUACAUACAGGCAGUUAGAGGAUGGCAGGCGUUAUAGGUACAGAGAGCUCAAGGCCCUGAUCAAAGAGAGGAAAUAAAAGCACGUGAGAACAAAAUCCAAAAAAAUUAAAAAGAGAACAAUAACAUGAAAAAGAACAGAAAAAUAAAAAGAGAUAUAGUAAAAAAAAGCAGAGAGAUAGAGAUGAUAGUCUAUCUUCUCGGUGGGGGUCCACAACCGCCAAAUUAAAAAGAUGACGGCCACCGACCGUUCCUAGCGCAAGUGGCAAAGGGCUUGGUGGUUGAUAUCCGAGCUUCCCAGUUCGAAUCCUAGUUGAUUCACAUUUCUAGCUAAAUUUAUUUAUAGAUGAAAUAAAUGAAGCGGGUAGCGUGCUACGUAUCUCUCUCUCUCCCAAAAAAAACAAAGAUGACGGUCCAGCUUUUCGGUGGAGCUCAUACGCCCAAAUAUAAAGAGAUAACUGUUCAUCUUCUCAAAAAAAUGGAGAAAAAAAAGAAUCUAGUCAAUUUUAAAAAAUUAAUUAUAAAAAUCAGUGGGACCCACACUCUGUAAUUAAUGGGGUUGGCUACAUCACCGUAAAACUAUGAGGAUUAAUAGUAGUUUACGAAUGGGCAUUUGUACAAAAAAUCAUGAGUUUUAGAAGCCAUUUAUGUACGUGUCAAGUAGGUUCGAGAAUCAAUAGUCUAACAUUGUUAGAUUUACAAGAAAUUUACAUCCAAAUUUAAUAAAUUUUUAUAUGUAGACAUUUUUAUGAUCAUAGAGCACAACCAAUGAAUUAGAAUUUGAUUUUUAAGUACUUUAUCAUUAUCAAAAUAUUUACUCUGCACGAUAUAUGAUAUGUACUUUACACCUACAAAUUUAGAGCUCUAGUUUGGAUAAAACCCAAUAUAAAAAUUAAAAUUCUUUCAACCAAAUUUUAGUUAGUUAACUUCCUUUUCUUAAUUUGGCCAUUAAAUUUAAAACUUUAAGUUAUGUAUAAUUACUACGUUUUUGUUUGCUUUAAAGCAUGAGGGUGUUUGGUCUAGUGGUAUGAUUCUCGCUUCGGGUGCGAGAGGUCGCGAGUUCGAUUCUCGCAACACCCCUUAAUUUUUAAUUUUAUUUCUUGGCUUAAAUUUUACUACUUGUUUUGAAACAUCUAGCUAAGCUUUAUUUUGGUCCUCAAAUUUUUCAAAUUCAACAUCAGUGGUUUCUAAAGUCUUAAUUGUAUGUUUGAAUCAAUUUUCAUUUUGGUCCUCAAAUUUUUAAACUUUGAUAUCGAUAAUUUCUAAACUCUUAAGAGAAUUUUACUUUAGUACUUCUACAUAUUUAUUGUUUGAUGAAUUACAGCUUAGAACUCCAUGUAACUUUUCCUCUAUUUAUUAGGUUUUUAUCGUCUGUUUUUUUCAUCGUAUGUUUCAACUAUACUAUCCAUUGAAUUAUAUAUUUCUACAAAAAGUGAGGUUAAAUUACAUAAAACCUCCCUAUAAAUUUUUUUUUUUAUAUUUUCUUCCUAACUUUCAAAAAUCUAUAUUUUGCACCCUUAAAAUUUCAAAAAUAUUUUCAGAAGUGUACGACAUUAAUGGACAGGGCAAAAUGACCGAAUUGCCCACACUUCCUCUAUAAGGAAAAAAUAAUUUUUAAUAUAUUUUGGUCAUUUUGAAAGAUAUUUUUGGUAUAAAUUAUAAAAAAUGGAUAGCAUAAUAAUGAAACCCUGACGGAGGGGAGCUAAGAGGGUUAAAAUAUAAGUUUUUGAAAGUUAGGGAGAGAGAGUAAAAAAUCUGUGUAUUUACAAAGGGGUUUUCAGUAAUUUAACGAAAAAUAAGAUCUCUAAAUUAAAAGUAUGAGGUGGACGAAAAAAAAAGAGGAAUUUAUGGUAUACAAACAAAUAGAAGACCUAGGUGCAAAGCAAUAACUUUCAAUCUAAGAUAGGGGGCAAAAUGAAAUACCACUGUAAGUUCAAGGACUACUGAAAAUCUUAUCAAAAGUUCAGCUGUUCAGGAUUUUCAAAUACAGCCCUUCUCUCUUUCUCACAAGUCACAACCAUUGCUCUGUACACCAACCAUGCACAUAUAUGUAAACUCCAGUGUAUAUAUAUAUUGAAUCUUUGUGGUGAAAAUGUUUGUACUUGUAUAGUUCUAUAUUUCAUUUUCAAUAUUUUUUUUACCACUUGCAUUCAAAUUGUUUUCACUUUUUGCCUUCUCUUAUACAAUGGUUUCCCUGCCAGGUUUGAUUGAAUAAUUUAGUUAUGCUAGAAAAUUGAGAAAUGAGGGGGAUUUAUGGGAAACCUCGAUCACAGCUCUAAAAUGGAAUAAAGUGAUCUAAGAAAUAUUGUUUGUUUUGUGCCUGAUAUAUCUUUUGACUUAAGCCCAGUUUGGUAAUAUGGUGGCUAAAAUCUCCGCUUAUAUUUUGGAAGGUCUCAAAAUUUUGAAAGUAUUUUUUAUCUUUUCUCGUUCAAUACUAUAAAAUUAUGGUGACAAUCAUCAGUGAAAAAGUAUGUGGUUUCAUCUUAUUUAUAUUUGGUCUCGUUCACAUCUUUCAACCCCGUUUCAUUCUAAAGGUCUUCAUGCUAGUAAGGAUUUAGCACAUAGCAAGAGAGUACAUUAAAACUAAGAUUCACAUCUGCGUACAAGAGUUUCUCAGUAUACCAGUUUAAACUGUUUUGUAUGCUCGAGCCAUUUAACAAAGGAAAAGACUGCUCAAUUAAAAUGCCUAGGGCAUUAGAUUUGUAGAUAAUCAAACAAAUUUCAAUUCUCACCACUCCUACCUUGUACCUCCCUCCAAACAAAUAAAAAUAAAAAAAAGUUAAAAUUGCAAGGCAUUUGGUUGGACAGCACAAAAUACUGUGCCAACAAUUUCAAUUUUAUUUGUCUUUCUUCCUCUACCUAGAAGUACUAGACAUUAAUCCUCAAUGCAUAAUUCCAAAGCUAGUUAUGAGGUGAUAUUUAACUACUGCUAAAUAAGAUGCCUCCCAUUCCAUGUAUGACUAAAGUGAACUCAAAAGAAAUAUAUAUCAUGGCGUUACAGAUGUCAAACAACAGUUUUUUUUUUAAAAAAAAUACCAACUAUGAAAAAGAGCCAACAAUUUUUGGAAACUUUAUAUAACUGCAUGCUGCAUUCAAAUUGCGCUUCGACAGAGCAUACAUAUCAUGCAUUCAGUAUAAUACUUGGUAUUGAUGUUAUUGUUCAUCACUUUCCGACAGUACUAAACUGUGACUAAGAAUCUGGUGAACUAACAAGCUUAAGUCAGUUUUUCCCCAUGUUUUCGAGCAGCGAAGCGACGUUGUCAGCCGUCAGCGGCUUGAGGAGGAAAUCAUCUAUUCCUGCUUCCAUGAAUUCUGCCUUACUCUCACUGCUGGCAUUCGCCGUUAUGCCCACAAUCUUGGCGUCAACCCCCAUCGAUCGCAGCGUCCUCGUGGCCUACAUUUAGCAGAACAAGAACCAAAGGGAUAGGCAUGGCUUGUGAAAAUUUAGGUGAUUCAGUAAUGCAUUUGAAUCAUAUAGAAAGGCCAAGGUGGUGUAGAUGCUUAAGUAACACUUUAUGUAAUGCCUUGGUGCAAUGAGUAUAAGUUGCAUGGUUGUAAAAAUACCUCAGGGCCAUCCAUGACAGGCAUCUCUUUGUCCAUGAGAACUAUGUCGAAGUUACUCCCGGAGCGAAAGAGAUCCACCGCCUCUUUCCCGUUCUCGGCUGCAGUAGUCUCGACCUUAAAGAAACGGAGCAGAGCAGUCUGCAGCACGCGGUGGAACUUACUGUCGUCGACGACAAGAGCUCUCAACACAUUCUUACCGGAGCUUGCAGAUGUUGAACCCUUGAUCUUUUCCGGGCCGGAUCCCAUCGUGAUUUUUUCGCUUAUCUAGAAUCAACCAGUGUUAGAUUGUCUACUCAAAAGUACAGGGUAAAUAGUAAAGCUUAGUUGUAGUAUCUUAGAUGGCAUGAGUGUCCAUAAAAUUAAGAUCACUAGAUUGCCUAAAUUUGCAAACCAAAGAUUCAUAGAUGAAAAAGGAUAAACUUCAUAUUAUUGGCAUUGUCGAAGCGAAUGCAUCGAUAACUGUAAUAUGUGAUUAGUGAACCUGUCAUGCAUAUUUAGUGAAAAAAGAACUCAUAAGAGAAUCCAACAAACUUCAUCUUGUGCUGCUAAGGUAACACUGUCAUUACUAGAAGGCUUUUCUAGCUAUUAAUUGGAUUUGCAUUCUCAUAUCAUGUAUUGUUAUAUAUAUCUAUUUCAUAACUAUAUCUUUCUUAUAUGAUAACUAGGAAACUGAACAAUAAUUCUCAUUCCAUAAUAAACGGUGCAUUAUUUCUUUCACGGUGAAUCGAAUAUUAGUGCUCAAUCCUUAUUGUCUGUUUACCAUCUCUAUACCCAUGUAUAUAUAGUCAAAUUAUAUUUUGAAAAUUGCAUGCACAACCGACCGUCCCUAGAGCAAGUGGCAAGGGACUUGGUGGUUGGCACCUGAGACCCAAGUUCGAAUCCUAGUUGAUUCACAUUUCCAGCUAAGUUUAUUUCUAAAUGAAAUAAACGAAGAGGGUAGCGUGCUACCUAUCUCUCAAAAAAAAAAAAGAAAAAAAAAAAAGAAAAUUGCAUGCACAAGGUUGUACAGUAAGUUCUAGUAUUGGAAGGGCCUGGAUCAGAAUCACGAAAAUGGAUGACAAAAUGUAGCAUUCUUGAAGAUCACAAAGAAAUAUAUAAACAACUUAACUAACUUACAUAAACACCAUGAAAAAAGUGUAAUUUACAAAUGGAAAAAAGUCCUUGAGUAUGGCAAUGUUGGUGAAGAAACAUGCGGCGAAGAUAACACAACAUUUUGAAGAAUACCAUAUGCAUAAAAUAGUGAAAAAUAGUUCAUGAUAUAGGAUUUUUGUGUAAUUUGAAAUGCUUCUUGAGAGGUUAGAGGAGGUGAAAGAAAGGAAAGAAAGAAACCUCACAAUAAGUUGAGGAGGUAAAUAGUGGAAGACUCCAACUCAAUACCACUUUGGUGGUCCUAUAAUGUGGCCAUAUUUAUAGAAAUAUAAGGAAGUCUCUCUUAAUCACGAGAUAAGGUGACUGAUACAGUCGGAUAUUAGAAAAUCUCCACUGUAGGCAAUGUGAGAUAUAUAGUGCCGUACAAUAUCUAAGUAAAUCUAAUUGCGUAUAAAAUCUAAGUAUAUCUAACUUUGCAGCAAAAGCGUGCCACGUGUUAAAGUGGGAUAAUUGGCAAUAUUAUGAUUUUAUGUAUUUUGCCAGAAAGGUACCUCUAUUCUUGUGAAUUGUGCAAAUGACAUGAUUUGAGCAUUUAGUUUGCAUUGUCCUUUUUGAGUUCACAUUUUUAGUAUUUGGAUUUGCAUCACAAUGUUCCUUUGAUUUUUUUUUUUUUUUCCUUUCCCUUUGAGAGAUGUUUCAUUUUAAUGAUAAAAGAGCCUAAGCAUGCUUUAGACACAACAUGGGGACGCGUGCUUAGCGGAAACAAUGAACAUGUUAUAUUAGCAAGUACAAUGAUGUAUUCGGAGGUCACGAAUCAGUGUGUGGUAGUUUCAGUUCCAAAAUGUAUUUGCUGCUAAAAAAUUGUCACCAUGAAAUAGGAGAUUCAUUACAACAAAAACGGUGUAUAGCGACACUUUUAAAUAUCAGUACAUAUCAAAAAAAAAAAAUAUUGCGGCUAAAUUACCGACACUUUUAAAAAGUGCUGCUGUAUGUGAAAUCGUUAGGUAUAUAGUGACAGUUUAAGAGUGUCGGUAUAACCUAAAAAAAGUGCUACUAAUUUAUCAACACUUAUUUAAGCAUUUAACAACCGCCGGAACUCUACCUCGUUGGCUGCAGUGGCGGAGGAGGAGGAGAGCGAAGGACUCUUCGUCUAAGGUUUCAGUGGAUUGAGUGAGGAGAGAAGGGGCGAUGGUGAUCGAUUUUUUUUUUCUUUUUCUGUUUAUAAUUGGGCCGAAUGGGCUAGGUGAGGUGGAUUGAGUAGAGUAAUCUUUUAUUUUUUAUUGGAUUGGGCUUUAUAUUUAGGUCUUAGUAGAUUUUUUAAAAAGUUUUGGCAUAAAUGAGACACUUACAUAAAAAUGUCUCAAACAUGUGUUCCUAUAACCUAAUUCUGUUGUAGUGAUUUUCAAUACGUUUAAAAGUAAAUAUGAUUAUUCCUGCUCUUAUUCUUAAAGAAAAAUAUAAUUAUUUUCAUUAGAUACAGGCAAAAACAUUGUGAAAUGAUCUACAUAGUUAAUUGCUAGGGUCUUUUGUCCUUCAUUAUUUCUUUCCUUUCUUCUCUAUUCUUUUCAACUAGCAAAGGGACUUAUAAUCUAAAAAAGAAAAAAGCAAACUUUCAUUUUUGGUCAAAAAAAAUUGAUGAGCUCGUUUCCAUGUUGUGUGUAAGCCUGUUCAUUUUGUAAAUGGUUAUUUGUAUUGUAAACAAAAUGCAUGCAUACGUGGACAAUAUGGAAAUAAUUUUUGUGAAGUUUGAGACAAGCUAUUCAUACUUCAUCUGGUCAAAUUUACUAAGAUGAUUCCCUCUAGGGCUUAUUUGCAAAAACUGUAAUCCUAAUUAGCUUGGGUUGAGAUUAGAUGAUUAAAAAGAACUAUUCAUAUUCUCCACCUGACACACAUGUACCAAAUAGAUGCAAAUAUACUUGGUGUGUAACCUAUCAAAACUCUAUUUAUACACAACUUAGAGGCAAUGGCUUAAAGUUGGAGCUAGUUUGAUAAUGAAAUAAGGAUCAAAUUGAUGUGAAACCUUUCCUAUUUGAUUUUUUGUGAGUCGGCUUUCAAACGCCUUUCGAAUAGCGCGAAGUCGAUAUCAAGUGAGUGAGAUAUCACAAUUUAUCAAAAGGUGUCAAUAUAUAUAGUCUGCAGGCCGUAUCUUAGGCUGACGGAAGAAACUGGGUGCUCGAAAAUUUUAGGGUGCCUUAAUUUAGCGGCCUGACUUCUCCCAAGUUGCGAGGCACGAAACAGUUUCGAGUGCUCGGAUAUUAGAAAGUGGGCGCCCGACAAUUCAUGACGCACCCAAUUCUGUGUAAAAGGUUGCAAGAAGCCUGCAUUAGAAAAUUUUCGAUUGCCCCAAAGUUGAAAUUGCAUUCAAAUCCGUCAAAUCACAGUAUAUAUAGCUGUUGUAUAUUACAGUGCAUUGUCAGAAGCCUUUGGAGAUGUGGGUGCCCGAAAGCGGAAACUGCGCCGGAUACUAGAAUUUGACUUGUAACGGCUAUAUAUUAAUUUUUGGCUUGAGAUAGAGGGAGAAAAUAGGAAAAAAGAUGUAGAAUACCCAAAAGAGAUCUCUAAGUCCUUUCAUGGGUGAUUCCUCUACAGUUAGUGAUGUCAGAUCUUGUACAGGGAAGAUUUUCUCCCGUGGAGAAGAGAAGUUAUUGUAAAGGCUGGGGUGCUUUAGGGGUGGAAACGAGCCAAGCUCGAGCAAGCUUACCUCACCUCAGCUCAAGCUUGACUUGAAAUUAAUUUCGAGCCUAAAUUUAGGCUCAAGCUCAGCUUGAAAUUAAUUCGAGCCGAGCUCGAGCGAGCCUAAUUUCGAGUUGAGCGAGCUCGAGCCCUAAACGAGCUGCUUGAAAUUUUUAAAAUCGUGCAAUCUAUAGUUUAAUUUUUAUAAAAUAUUAUCUAAAAUUCGAUACAAAAAAUGUCUAAUAGCUUAACAUACAAAAUGCAUGUAUGAAAUAUGAUAUUAUAAUAUUAAAAAAAUAGGAAAAACAACUCUCUGAGCGAGUGAAAAAGAGAAAGAGAGAGCAAUUAAAGUAAGAUUUUACUGGUUUGGCUUUAUGGGCCCAAUAAUCUAAAUUCUAUAUACAUAUAAUUAAAAUACAUAAUAUAAAUUUAUAUAAUUAAAAUAUAUAUUAUAUAUAAUUAUAUUGGAGAGAGUUUUGGCUACUAUAUUCUAUUAAGUAUAGAGCCCUUUAAUACUCAUAAUUUUUUCACGUUAGAUCUAUUCUAUCCGUAAAUCAUCACUAUUCAACCAAACCGCCCCCGUUCAAUCCUAGGGGACUGCACUAUUAAUCCUAAUUGCACAUUUUCAAGCGGCGAAAAUUUAUAAGCAUAAAGGGGUUAUUACUCCAAAGAAUCAUAUAUACGCUAGGCCUAUAUAUAUGAUAAUAAUACUAUAAUAUAUACUUAUAUACUUAUAUUAUAUAGUAUAUAUAUAUAUAACUGUAUAUUAUAUAUAUAGAAGUUGAGUUAGAUGCCGUAUCGAUGGCAAAUUCAGCAUGUUUGCACCCAUUUGUUUUUCGAUGAUGGACGCCUCCAAACUCGCCGAUCGGCACCGUUGAACAUGAUUAUACCACUUGAAGUGUUUAGAAAUCAAAUUUUAAAAUCUUUUCAACAUCAUUAUUGCUAAUAAUCAAAGGGUUUCAAAAUUUAUAAUUUUAAUGGUCGAUAUGAGGCGUUUUCUCCGUUUAACGCGAAAAGAUAUCCAAAUCAAUUGAAUUUUUGUUAGAAAAUUCUUUAAACUAUUUAAAACAAGAUUAUACUCUUGAAUCUUGAUUAUAAGACUCCUAUAUAUCAUUUUUUUUAAGAAUAUUCAUUUUCAGCGUUCAUUUUGUGUCACUCGAUGGAUAAAGAAAACAAUAUCGAAAAUGUAUGAAAUUUGAUUUCUAAAUAUUUCAAAUGGUAUAGAUCAUGUUCAACGGUGCCGAUCAUCAAUUUUGAGGCUCCAUCAUCGAAAACAAAUGGGUGGCAAAAGUGCCGGUUUGCUAUCGAUAGUAUUCUAGCUCAACUCUAUAUAUAUAUAUAUAUAUAUAUAUAUAUAUAUAUAUAUAGAAUUAUGUUAUAAUAUUAUUAAUAAUAUCAACUAUUUGCUAUUAGGUUUUCGGCCCUUAGAUAGUUAUUAUAUGAUGAUAAAAAAAAAGCAUUCUAAUUACUAUCAUCCUAACUGCACAUCCCUUCAUCCAAGGGCCGAAGACCUAAUAGCAAGUGGUUGGUAUUAUUAAUAAUAUAAUAGACUUUUUCUAUAUACAUAUACAUACAUAUAUAUUUCGAGCUUUUCGAGCCUAAUUCGAGCGAGCCCGGUAAUACUCAAGCUUGACUUGAAAUUAAUUUCGAGCUUAAAUUUAGGCUCAAGCUCGACUUGAAAUUAAUUCGAGCCGAGCUCGAACAAGCCGAAUAUCGAGCCGAACGUGAGUCGAACACGAGCCGGCUCGCUCAUUUGCCAGCCCUAGGGUGCUUGGCCAAAAAAAGUAUUAGUAGGCAUAGUUCUGUUAUAAAGACUUGGUGCUUGUUCAUGAAAAGUAUUGAAGGGCAUUGUGCAGGUGUAAGUAACAGCUUGAUGCUUGCCCACAAGUAUCGGAUACUGGAAAUCUAACAUCUUUGAAAUUUAGAGUUGGUGGGGACGUAGGCAAAGGACCAAACCUCGAAAUAAAUUGUCGUAUGCUUAUUGAGUUUACAUUUCUCUGCUCUCUACUCUUUCUUAAUAUGAUUGAUUUGAUUUCACCUUACAUUGUUUUAUCUUUGUAAUUUCAAUUAGCUUAUACUUUUGCCUUAGAAGCCUAUUUCAUUCUCCAUUCUAAAUCGUCAUUUCGAUUAACAAAUACCACGCCCCAUCCCACAAAAUCUUUAAUCCCUGCAAAAUAAUAUAAUAUAUUAUUAUAUAAUUCUUAAUUUUUUAAUUAUAAAUAUAGAAUGUUAGUUUUGAUGUACUUAUAUAAAUAUUUUUAAUUUAAUCAAAUAUUUUAAACAUAUUUGAUUUUUUUUUAACAAAAAAAUUAGUUAAGCAAUAUAUAUGAUUGCUAUACAUUUUUAGUAAAUUGAUGUGUCAUACUUAAUAAUGUGGCAACGAAUAAAAAAACUAACUUAAUAAUUAGGGAAACUUUACACUAAUUUGAAUUAAAAAUAAAUUAAAUUUAAUAUAAAAUCUAAAUAAAAAAUAAUCUAGAAUAUUUUUUAAUCCAUGGGGUAUCAGCGGGGGAUGAGAACGGGAGAAAGUUAUUUUUUCGUUACUUUUAGUACUUGAUGCUAUCGAUUGUAUUCCAGCUGAACUCUAUAUAUAUAUAUAUAUAUAUAUAUAGAAUUAGACGGGAAUACUAUCAAUAGCACCAAGCUAUUGGUGCUAUUAGUUUUUUAGCCCUUGAAUUGAGAAAUGUGUGGUUAGGAUGAUGUGAGCCCCCUAGGGUUGAGUGGGUGGUUGGUUGAAUAGUAUAAUCUAACGGGUAAAAAUAAUCAAAGGGUUAAUCUAACGGUGGAAAACUCGAUAGCACCAAAUUCUUGGUGCUAUUGAUAGUAUUCCCGUCUAAUUCUAUAUAUAUAUAUAUAUAUAUAUAGAAUUAGGCUGGAAUACUAUCAAUAGCACCAAGCUAUUUGUGCUAUUAGUUUUUUAGCCCUUGAAUUGAGAAAUGUGUGGUUAGGAUGAUGCGGACCCCGUAGGGUUAAGUGAGUGGUUGGUUGAAUAAUAUAAUCUAAUGGAUAAAAAUAAUCAAGGUGUCAAAUCUAGCAGUGGAAAACUCGAUAGCACCAAAUUCUUGGUGCUAUUGAUAGUAUUCCAGCCGGACUAUAUAUAUAUAUAUAUAUAUAUAUAUAUAUAUAUAUAGAGGCUAAUGCUACUAUCCUAUUAAUAGGAUANNNNNNNNNNNNNNNNNNNNNNNNNNNNNNNNNNNNNNNNNNNNNNNNNNNNNNNNNNNNNNNNNNNNNNNNNNNNNNNNNNNNNNNNNNNNNNNNNNNNNNNNNNNNNNNNNNNNNNNNNNNNNNNNNNNNNNNNNNNNNNNNNNNNNNNNNNNNNNNNNNNNNNNNNNNNNNNNNNNNNNNNNNNNNNNNNNNNNNNNNNNNNNNNNNNNNNNNNNNNNNNNNNNNNNNNNNNNNNNNNNNNNNNNNNNNNNNNNNNNNNNNNNNNNNNNNNNNNNNNNNNNNNNNNNNNNNNNNNNNNNNNNNNNNNNNNNNNNNNNNNNNNNNNNNNNNNNNNNNNNNNAGAAGAGAGAAGAGAUGAGACGAGAGGAGAGAGAGAGUCCGGCUAUGGUGCUCGUAAAAGCCACCAGCAUUUGGUGCUUGUAAAUUUUUUACCGUUAAAUUUCUGUCUUUGAUCAUUUUUACCCGUUAGAUUAUACUUCAACCAACCACCCACUCAACCCUAGGGACCCACAUCAUCCUAACUGCACAUCCAUUAAUCCAAAGGCCAAAAACUUACAAGCACUAAUAACUUGGUACUUUUAAAAGCAUAGGAGCUCAAUUCUAUAUAUAUAUAUAUAUAUAUAGAGAGAGGAGGAGAGAGAGAGAGAGAGAGAGAGAGAGAGAGAGAGAGAGAGAGAGAAUACUAUCAGUAGCAAAAGGGUUCCGUUGUCAUCCAUUUAUUUUCAAUGAUCGAGCCUUCAAAUCGAAGAUCAGCACCGUUAAACAUGAUUUAUACUACUUGAAGCAUUCUAGAAAUCAAAUUUCAUACUUUUUCGAUAUUGUUCUCCUGUCCAUCAAGUGGAUACAAAAAUGAACGGCUAAAAAUAAAUAUUCUUUAAAAAAUAAAAAUAAUAAUAGGAGUUUUGUAAUCAAGAUCAAAAGUAUAGAUUUUAUUUUAAAUAGUUAAAAAAAAUUCUAACCAAAAUUCAACAGGUUUGGAUAUCAUUAUGUUAUUAAAAGAGAAACGUAACGUUAAAAUUACGAAUUUUAAAACCCUUUGAUAAUUAGGUCAAUGAUAUCAAAAAAACUUGAAAUUUAAUUUUUAGAUACUUCAAAGGAUAUAAGUCAUGUUCAACGAUAUCAAUCGUCGAUUUGAAGGCUCAAUCAUUAAAAAUAAAUAGGUGGCAGCAAAACUUGUUUACUACCAAUAGCAUUUCAACCUAUCUCUCUCUCUUUCUCUCUCCCUCCCUCUCUCUCUCUCUCUCUCUCUAUAUAUAUAUAUAUAUAGAGAGAGAGAGAGAGAGAGUUGAGCUAGAAUACUAUCGGUAGCAAACGGGCUCCGUUGCGGCCCAUUUGUUUUCGAUGAUGGAGCCUCCAAAUCGAUGAUCAAAAUCGUUGAAUAUGAUCUAUACCACUUAAAGUAUCUAGAAAUCAAAUUUCAUACUUUUUCGAUAUUGUUCUCUUGUCCAUCAAGCGAGUGUAAAAAUGAACAGCUGAAAAUGAAUAUCCUCUAAAAAGUGAUGAUAGAAAUUUUGUAAUCACGAUCAAGAGUAUAGAUCUUAUUUUAAAUAAUUUAAAAAAUUUUCUAACAAAAAUUCAAUUGAUUUGAAUAUUUUUACACCGUUAAAUGAGAAAACGCCUCAUAUCAACCAUUAAAAUUACAAAUUUUGAAACCCUUUGAUCAUUAGGCAAAUGAUGUCGAAAAGAUGUGAAAUUUAAUUUUUAAACACUUCAAGUGGUAUAGAUCAUAUUCAACGAUGCCGAUCGUCGAUUUGGAGGCUCCAUCAUCGAAAACAAAUGGGUGGCAACGAAACCCGUUUGCUAUCGAUAGUAUUCUAGCUCAAUUAUAUAUAUAUAUAUAUAUAUAUAUAUAUAUAUAUAUAUAAAAGACCUCUUGUUUGGUGCUUUAGCUGCUACUCCAGUUAUAAGCCGUUGGACAAAACAUAGAAAACCCAAAAAAAAAAUAAAAAAAUAAAUCAAAUAACACUGCUCGGCUACGCAUAACAUUGCUGGCCACAAAGUAAAUCCAACUAACCCUUAUCUUCUUAACAGCUUUCUCUAACAGCAGUUACGUAAAACUCCCGAGUUAACAAAACAAAGAUCUUUAAGACCUAGAGAGGACAUCUCAAAGUUCACAGAAAAUACUUCAUAACACUCACACUGCUGGCAAUUGGUUUCUCAUAUUUACUCAAAGAUUGAAAACUGUAACGCAAAAAAACUGAGCCCGUAAGAUAGAGUUUGGUGCAUCCAACCAGCAUCACACACUCACACACUCGCAAAACCAAUGCAAGUUUACAAUUUCACAUUUCAAAUUACUUUUAACCGGUUGGCUCAGUAACGAGUAAACAAAAGAUUUUUUACACAAUGUACUUCAUACUACUUUCUGUUACACUGCAUUUUGCACAUCGGCAUAUUUUGUGAAGAUUGAAGAAUCAGAAAAAUGAGACAGAAACUCACAAUACAACACAAUGCCACAAGACAAGAACGAUAGUGUGAGGAACCGGAAGGAGAGAGAAGAGGUACCUAUCAAUCUAAGGCCAAUUGGUGAAUUCAAACACCUUUUGCACUAUAUCGAACCCGGUUGGGAUCUGCCAUAUGAACAACAGGACGUUCAAUGUGUUCAAUGCAAUGUGGAGAUUCCUUGCAGUCUCAUUUCCCUUCUGCAUGGCAGGGACAAGCGCUGCGGCCGCUGCCCACAGCACAGUGAUAGCUACAACAACAGAUGAGCACACGCAAAUAUUUGGAAAAAUGAGUUUGCAAUUGUAAUGCUACUAUGAUUGAGGACAAAAAAAAUUUUGAAUAGAUGCUAUCAUAUACCACCAAGUUUUUGUUGUUAUUGUUUGGCGGUAGGAUUUCUUGUUCAUGGGCUGAUGGCUAUCAUUCUGUGUGAAUAGUAGACUAUCCUAAAUGUUUUUUGUCAAAAUAAAACAUAUUUAUAGUAGAUAUUCUACGAUGACGAUGGAUAGAGGUAAAAGACUUUCUUGAUCCUCAGAUAGAUGAAAAUAUAGCACGCACGCGAAUAAUCUAGCAUACCUUUUUCUAUAAUAAAUAAAAUACAGUUAAUAACUAAAUUAGCCAUUAGAGUUUCACCCUCAAACUUCUUAUUAUAACAAUCUAGUCUACCGACCGCCCCUAGCGCAAGUGGCAAAGGACUUGGUGGUUGGUACCCAAGGUCUCAAAUCCGAAUCCUAGUUGAUUCACAUUUUCAGCUAAGUUUAUUUCUAAAUAAAAUAAACGAAGCGGGUAGUAUGCUACCCAUCUCUUAAAAAAAAAAAAAAACAAUCUAGUCUCUGAAAUUUGUUCUGCAUACCAAUUGGGUUCUUAGUUACUCCAGCCUAGGAGAACGAAAUUGAAACUAUUAUAGUUGAACUUCUGAGGAUGAAAUUGAAAUUUGCAUCACACUACAUGGACUAAAUUAGUAAUUAAUCCUGUAUAAGUGUACACACUACAUGGACUAAAUUAGUAACUAAUCCUGUAUAAGAGUACACAAAUCGUAAGAAGCUUACGAAGAAUAUAAUCAUCUUCCAGUUUUCUUUACAUUCUCCUUAGUACUUAAAGAGGUCAAUGUAGUAUUGCACGAGGGAUUAAGAGGGCACAAUCACAAAGAGAUUAGAAGAAUAUUUCGAAUUUUCCUCAUCUUUCUAUUUUAUCUGGCAAUUUUGAAAAUAUAAACAGGAUGUGCAGUAUUUAUCACUAUAAAGGAUGAAGCACCAACAAUACAGUCCACUGCUGAGGAUACCAUUACGUAAUGACAAUGAGGCCAAAGAACUUAUAAUAAAGCAAGAUUUAAGUGCCCAUCGAUAUAGGCUGUAUCUACCAUACUAUAUCGUGCCAACAAAAUAUCAGCACGAUACAGCUCCCAUACCGAUGGCACAGCUCAAAACUCUCUUUUCUUUACAUUAGUAAGUAAUUUUUUCAAUAAAGUUCAAAAGACUUGAUAAAGAUACAUAAUAAGCAAUUAAAAUAUUUUGUUGCUAAAAAAAAUAAAUACUUUAUGUAAUUAUAUGUAGGUAACACAUAUAUUUUUUGUGACCAGCAUGCAUCGGCACAGUCCGGCACGCACCAUAUCAUACCGUGCCGGCAAGUUUUCGACACGACCCCGUGCCACGGAACUUAAAUCCUUGCGAGAAAAAGCCUUGACAAACGAUCAUUCACUCAAGAUUUAGUAUUUCUAAAUCACCAAAAAUUACACUACUUUUUAGUAAUCAACAGGGAAAGUUUUUAUUCUCAAAUUCUGGUUUUGAACAAAACUAUUUCCUACUGUCGCUAACAUAAGUACACUGAGCAAUCAGAUUAAGUUGACAGAUCCAUGUAUUGUUGCCGACUACAGCCCCUAUGCCAACUACAGCCCCUAUGAUUAAACACUUUCCUGGGAACAAAUCUGCCAGGGAAAGUAGUUUCAAUUCAAAGUAUUUUAUUUUCUGUGGUAAAUGAGUAAGUGGCAAUCUCUCUACCCAACACUUAAUAUACCAAAAGCAUCGAGGGUUGGUAUUCCGAAAGCACUUUACGCUGACUAUACAAAAUAUAUGUACAAGCAGACAAAGAAUGACAGGGCCACCAGUAUUGGAGUGCUAAAGAAAAAGAAUGAUUGAAUAAUUGAGUUAGGUUUUCUAUACACUUGGGCUCGAAUUUAAUCUCUCACAAGAAGCGAAGAAAGAGACUAUAAUUACUAUUGCACUCUGAUUAUAGCCAUAGAUAAAUGUAGUCCUGGUCUAAGUGUUUGACUUCGGACAAAGAGCCGUAAUUGGAAAAGGUCACCUAUCCAUUUCAUAGAGUAUUAUACAUGUGGAAAUCCAAGGAAGGAAACAACCCCAGAUCCGCCUAGACUUUGAAUUGAUUGCAAAUCGCUCAAAUACUAGAAGUUGGAAAGAUGAAAUUUAUUAUGUGAAUAAUUGAUUUGCACUAAUCAACUACCCAGCUUGAUUUUCUCGCCUUCUAUCUGCUGUCGUUACGAGAUGGUCAUGCGACAGGAAAGAUACUAGAAAUGAAGUUGAAAAUCUAACGUUAGAAAAUUUAGUGCUAACGUAAACCCUUUCCACAAAAUUUAGGGUUAAUUGACCCUGUCCGGCAAGAAAAUCCCGAACAGGAUGUAAACCCUUCCCAAAACCAAAUCUGAACAAAUUUUAUUUCAAAUGGAAUUCAAAUCAAAUCUGAUCCAGGACCCAUAAUAUGAAGAUUAAAGAUGCUUAAUAGAUUCUUAAGCUAAAUUAAAUAGAGCAGCUAAGGCAUCGUCCGGUAUUAUCACAGUUUGUUCAUUUUCGUGAACACAAACUCUAUCCAAUGGAACAUAGGUAAGUUCAUCUACUAGUGCAUCCAACCACAUAUAGUUCUUUUAUGAAACAAAUAGAAAAAACAGUAAGAAAUCUAAGUGAGCUGUAACUAUUUAACAACUAGUCAUUCCCCCUUUCUUUGAUAAUAUAUACAUGGUAUCUCUAAAACAGCAUUUCUAUUUGAGAAACUAUAGAUUUUCAGCCUCCUUUGGGUACACUUCUGCUUGUAAUCUGUACGACAAAAACCAAAAGCUUACUAGUAACAUCUUUUUUGCUUCUUUUUUGUAACAAAGAUGCCUUUUGGCAAUUGGCCAGACUACAUCGCAAGCUAGCCAAUGAUGACAAAAGUAGCGAUGUCCCUCUAUUGGCACAUCCAACCACAGAAUUGUUACAUAUAAAAAUUAAAAAAACAACAGCAAUACCAAACAAGGUAUAACUACAUUAAUUUUAUUAGUUAUACUUUUUCUUUUGAUAAUAAUAUGCAGUAUACAAUAAGUGUGAAACAACCGAUGUACUCUAAAAGCUUAAGCUGUUAGAGAACGGUGUUUAAACAUUUUUAUAUUUAACACUCCCCCUCACGUCUGGGCUCGAAACCUUUUAAUCAGCCCAUGACGUGGGCUUGAAUUAAAUGGGAGGAAAUUAAUAUGCUAGGAGUCUGGCGUGACUCGAACUCAGGACCUCCUGCUCUGAUACCAUGUGAAACAACCGUUGUACUCUAAAAGCUUAAGCUGUUAGAGAACGGUGUUUAAACAUUUUUAUAUUUAACAAUAAGAAUGUUCUUAGUCAAGAAACUAAAAAUUUAAGGCCAAAUUUGGUUAGACUUGACACUUGCUUUGUUUUCUUAACAGUGAAAUUUUAUGCGACUGAAUGUGCUAGCAUAUGACAAAUUAUUAGCAAACUAUAUAUGUAUAAAGUUUGUUCAGCCAGAGGAAAAAAGAAAAGAAAAAAAAAAAAAUUAGUGACAACUUAUUUCACUUGUUUCCUUUUUUUGUGAAGAAAAUGAGUUUGCAAGCUAAUCAACACGUCCCAAGAAUAAAAAAGUUCAUCCAUUAGUGCGUUCAAAUGCAUGGAAAUGUAAGCAUAGUGAAACAAGGCUUUAAAAUCGUUGAUUUGUAAUUUCAAUUUUCAUGUAAAAAUAGGACCGACACUAGAUUGGGUCCGGAUGUAACUUCUAAAGCAUCAAUGGUUAAAUCGCCUAGUGUACAAAAGUUCCCUACACAGAAAAUUCGCAAUCAAUUUCCAAUGUAUGAAAAUCUUCUUUUGGAUCAGCCAGUCAGCAACUUUAGUAAAAUCACAAUUUUAAGGCGCUAGGUCACAUACUAAAACACUCGACCUAUCGUGUCCUUACAACAGGUAUUAACAGGUUGUGACAAUGCAUGGGACAAUCUCACAGACCCAGUUCUUUUCUUAUUUUUCCUUCAGUGGUCCUCAAGAAAUGCUACAUGCUAUAUAUAAGACAGAUCUCAAAGUGGAAGCAAUAAAACAAGCGCAGGUAAAAACAGAGGGGGAAGGGAGUAAGCUUUCCAGAGCAUACCAGCUCCAGCGAAGAGGUGGGGCCCGGGGAAGAGCUUCCCUGUGCGGAACCACGUAUUUAUUGCCCCUCCCACUGCCUCGAACACUCCGAAUCCCAGCAGUAUCGACCCUGCAUUAUAGUGCCGAUCCCUGUACGAUCCCUUCAGCAGCUCCUUCCUCUCCUGUUCAAAUCCCAACACCAAAAAUUUCACAUCUAAAUUCUAAUUUCUGCACUCCCAUGAAAAAUAAUAAUUGAAACAAACACGGAGAUAAUUAUGAAAUUGUGCUAUGGCAGUAAUUGUUGCUACUCAAAGAACAGUUUUAACAUCGUUACUCAUUUACAUGUUUAAAAGAUCUGACAAAAUAUACAACACAAACUGACGGAAGAGGCAAAAGAAACUACAAAUAGAACAACACUAAGAAAUUUAUGUUAUUAUAUGAUGAAUGUAAAUGAAUCAAAGCCUCGUGAAACAGAGUCGUAGGGCCGAUUCCGAUGCUAUAAUACAAAAAGAUAGAUAUAUGAAGUAGAAUACGACAAAAUGGUUCGGGAAUAAUCAGAAAACUGAUUUUGGCUCCGAUACCAUAUUACCAAAAACAUCUGUUGAAAUUGGGGAGCUAAGGACUAGUUGAAAUCUUAUAGGAUACGGUUCGGGAAUAGUCCGGGGUCACCUCGGUGAGCUUCUGAAUCUUGGCUUCGACCGGGGAGACCUCCGCAGGGGGCGGCGGCGACGCAUCGGAAGCAGCGGCGCCAGCGGGAACUGCGGCGGCGGCGGGGGCCGGGGAUUUGACCUGCUGCUUCUUGAGCUGGUUGAUCUCGUCCUGGAUGGUGCGGACGCGGCGCCACUGCCACCCCAAGUACCCCGCCCACAGCGUGUAGAAGAAGAGCCCGCUCAUCACCAACGGGUGCACCAGCGCCAGCGUGCGCCCCUCCAAGAUCCCGAACUCCCCUCCCACCGCCAUCGCGUCCUUCAUCGACCCCAUCCCCAAAUUAAUUUCUAGGGUUUCGUUACACACGCGGUACGAGAUCAAAGAUGAUGAGGAGAGGAGUACGUGCCUGGGGAUUGACGAAGAGGGGCAAUGAGAACGCCGCGGCGGCGGCGGAUGCUGCUGCGGCGGAGGGUAGGGGGAGGGAUUCGGAGAGCGAUCGGAGAGCGACGGAGAGGUGGAAAUGGAGAUCGAGCGACGACGACGACGACGACGACGACGACGACGAUGGGGUUUUGGAGAGCUUAGAGGAGAUAGGGAUGGGAUUGGGGAGGAGAUUGAGAAGCCCCAUCGUUGCGGCGGUGCUCGCCAUUGUUGCUCCCUCUCAAAGUUUCAGAGAGAGAGAGAGAGAGAGAGAGAGAGAGAGCGUGUGUGUGUUCGUGUGAUUUUGGAGGGAAAGAGGAGAUAAGAGACGAGGGGACGAGAAAAGGAGAUGGUACGGAGAAAAUGAAUGGCGGAGUAUGCGGACGCGUGGGGCUACGAGAUUAGCCGUUGGAUUCGUGCUACAGUGGCAUUUGGGUAAUUAAAGAACGGUGGAUGGUGGAGGAACGAUGGGUCCGCAUGCGACUCCGCAUGGAGGAUUUCGGAAGAGGAAGCGUCUUGAAGCUUCUGGUGAGCACACGCACGCACGUAAUACAAAUUGCACCCCUAGUCCCUAACCUUUCAGCAAGUUUUAUUUUGGUAUACAAACAUUUAAGUUGACCAGUAGUUGUCUCUAAAUUUACAAUUAAAAAAAAAAUUACUUAUACACCUCUGAAGUGUAAAUAUUAUAUUUCUUAUCUUAGAAUCUACAAAAAAAAAAAAAAAAAAAAAAAAAAAAAGCCGAAAUAGAUUUUAGUGAAAUAAAAAAAUGAUGUGAUAAGUAAAAAAAUAAUAGCUUUUAGAUAGAAUGAGUGCAAAAUAUACACUCCCGUAGCAUUGCUCAUAAAAAAAAAAAUAAUGAAUACAUCCAAAAAUUAGUGUAUAUUUUCCAUUCGAUUUAUCCAAUAGAUGAGAUAUUUUUAUUAAUCACAUUAAAUAACUAGUAAGAUGUAUAUCUUUCAAUCACUUAUUGGAUGUGUGGUGUGUAGUUAAUCUUAAAAAUUUCAGAAACACUACUGAUACGCAAAAAAGGAUAUAAAUCUUACGAUCUUUUAUUCCGAGAUCCAUAUCGGUUAAAAAAAAAAAAAAGGUUCAAGUUUGUAUUGACAAAUCUUACACUCUUUUAUCCAUCGGUCUAUAUUGAUGGAGAAAAAAAAAUUGAGCAAUACUACAUACUAGGGGCGGAAACGAGCAAGCUCGAGCGAGCUUAUGAACCUGUUUGGCCUAAUUUCUGAAAAAGUGAUUUCUGAAAAUAUGAUUUUGAUUUAGAGAAUUGAUUUUGCUUAAAAGCUGUAGAGCGUUUCGCCGAAAUAGAUAAAAGUGACUUUUCUGAAAUAAUUUUGAAAAACUAUUUGGCAUUUUUUGUUAUGUUUGCAUAAAUUAAUAUUUUUAUUAAAUAUUAUUUUAAAAUAAUUUAAAAUCUAAAUUUAAAUUUGAACUAAAAUUAAAAUUUUUAAAUUUCAAAAUUAUACAAAAUUUAAAAUUUGAUAUUUAAAUUUUAAAAAUAAUUUAAAAUUUUAAAAAUUUAAAAAUUAAAAAUAUAAAUAUAAAUUUAAAAAUAUAUAUAAUUAUGAAUUUUAAAAUAUAAAAUUUGAAUAUUUAAAAUUUAAAAUUUAAAUUUUGAAUAUUUAAAUUUAAAAUUUAAAAUUUAAAUUUUGAAUAUUUAAAAUUGAAAAAUAAAAAUUUGAAUAUUUAAAAUUUAAAAUUUAAAAUUUAAAAUUUAAAAUUUAAAAUUUUAAAAUUUUAAAAUUUUGAAAUUUAUAAUUUGCAGAUUAAAAAUUAUAAUUUGAAAUUUUAAAAUCUAAAAUUUGAGAUUUGAAAUUUAAAAUUAAAAUUUAAAGUUUGAAAUCUAUUUUUCAAAAUUUAAAAUUUAAAAGUUAAAAUUUAAAAAUUCAAAAAUGAAUCUGAAAAUUAAAAUUUAAAAUUAAAUUUAAAUGUAAAUAUUGAAAUUAAAAUAAAAAUAAAAAUUUGAAGUUUAAAUCCAAAAUCAGAAUCAAACUUCAAGAAGUAGCUUUUUUCAUCUUCUGAUUCUGAGGCCUUUAAAAUUAGAUUUCUGAUUCUAAAAAGCAGAAUCAUAUUUUAAAAGUGUGUUGCCAAACGUUCUAUUGAGCCGAAAAUUACUUUUCAACUCAAAAGCACUUUUUGAAAGUUAGGCCAAACACCCCCUAUCUCUGCUCAAGCUUGGCUUGAAAUUAAUUUCGAGCCUAAAUUUAGGCUCAAGCUUGGCUUGAAAUUAAUUCGAGCCGAGCUAGAGCGAGCCUAACUUCAAGUCGAACGAGCUGUAGCCCUAAACGAGCUGCUUGAAAUUCUUAACAUCAUGCAAUCUAUAAUUUAAUUUUUAUAAAAUAUUAUCUAAAAUUUGAUAUGAAAAAUAUCUAAUAGUUUAACAUAUAAAAUAAAUGCAUGAAAUACGAUAUUAUAAUACUAAAAUAAUUAGAAAAAUCGACUCUGCGAGGAAGGAAAAAAGAGAGAAAGAGAGCAAUUAGAGUAGGAUUUUGCUGGUUUGAUUUUGUAGGCCCAAUAAUCUAAAUUCUAUAUACAUAUAAUUAAAAUACAUAAUAUAUAUUAUUUUAUAUAAUUAAAAUAUAUAUUAUAUAUAAUUAUAUAUAGAGAGAGUUUGGUUACUAUAUAUACUUUUAUAAGUAUAAACCCCUUUAUACUUAUAAGUUUUCGACCGUUAGAUCUAUUCUUUUGACCAUUUUCAUCCGUUAAAUUAUACUAUUCAACGAACCACCCACUCAAUCUUAGGGGACCACUGUCAUUCUAAUCGCACAUCCAACGACCGAAAAUUUAUAAGUAUAAAAAGGUUUAUACUUAUAAGAGUAUAGUAGCCCGAGCAUAUAUAUAUAUAUAUAAUUAGGCUACUAUACUAUUAAUAACAAAAACCGCUUGCUAUUAGGUUUUCAGCCCUUGGAUGAAAGGAUGUGCGGUUAGAAUGAUAGUAGCCCCCUAGGGUUGAGUGGGUGGCUAGUUGAAUAUUAUGAUCUAACGGAUGAAAAUGGCUAAAGGGAUAGAUCUAAUAGCAGAAAACUCGAUAGCACCAAAUGCUUGAUACUAUCGAUAGUAUAAUAGCUGAACUUUAUAUAUAUAUAUAUAUAUUAUAAUAUAUAUAGGCAGAUUACGGCAAAACUUAAUAAUACAAGCGCUUAGUAUCUAAGAUAUAAUAGAUAAUAUAAUAGCCGGAUAUAUAUAUAUAGAGAGCAGAAGAGAGAGUCGCAUUACUAUAUUAUCGAUAGUACUAAAUGUUGGUAUUAUCGAAUUUUUUGUGCUUAGUAGGGGUGGACGAGACGAGACGAGCGAGCUUAUGUCAGCUCAAAUUCGGAUUGAAAUUAAUUUCGAGCUAAAUCUAGGCUCAAGCUCGGCUUGAAAUUAAUUCGAGCCGAGUUCGAGCGAGCCUAAUUUCGAGUCGAGCGAGCUCGAGCUCUAAACGAGCCGAUUGAAAUUCUCAAUUAUAUAAUCAAUAGUUUAAUUUUUAUAGAACAUUACCUAUAAUUUGAUGCAACAUGUCCAAUAGUUCAAAAUACAAAAUAAUUACAAGAAAUAUGAGCUAGGGUGACUGCCUGACUGGGUGAGGGUCUGAGGGAGAGAGAGAGAGAGAGAGAGAGAGAGAGAGAGAGAGAGGAAGGAAAAAAAAUUAGGGAUUUGGGAAUUUAAAUGUUAUCAUGUUUUAGGGUUAUGUGCAACAGUGAAAGUCUGAAAGAGAGAGUGUUAUGUAAAUUUAGAGUUGGGCUCAAUUGCACGGUUGUACUUAUUGGGUUUAUUUUAUGGGCCAACAAUAAUGGCCCAAAUUAAAUUAAAGCCUAUAUAUAAUUAAAUUACAUUAUAUAUAUAUAUAUAUAUAUAUAUAUAUUCGAGCUUUUCGAGCCUAAUUCGAACGAGCGGAGUAAUACUCAAGCUCGGCUUGAAAUGAAUUUUGAGCCUUUUAUUCAACUAACUACCCACUCAACCCUAGAGGAUCACUGUCAUUCUAACCACACAUUCCUUCAUCCAAAGAUCGAAAAUCUAAUAGCAAGUGAUUGGUACUAUUAAUAGUAUAGUAGACUAUAUUUAUAUGUAUAUAUAUUUCGAGCUUUUCGAGUUUAAUUCGAGCGAGCCGAGUAAUACUCAAGCUCGGCUUGAAAUUAAUUUCGAUCAUAAAUUUAGGCUCAAGCUUGCUUGAAAUUAAUUCGAGCCGAGCUUGAGCGAGCCGAAUAUCGAGCCGAACACGAGUCGAACACGAGCGGGCUCGCUCAUUUGCCAGCCCUACUACAUACACUUGUAAAUCUUACAAUAUUCUUCCAAUUUAAAAUUCACAAAAAAUUAAAUAGAAUUUCGGUUAAAAAAAAAUUGAUAAGAUAAGUAGAAAGAGUUCUUAGAUGAGCUGAGUGUAAAAUAUAUAUUUAGUUAGGAGUGCAUAUCCAGCAUUACUUUAUAAAAAAAUAUUAUUGAAAGUUUAGAGAUUAAAUUUAGUGUAAACUACGGUCCUCAACUAUGAGGCACGUGAAACGUUAGCCUUUAAACUUUAGCUUAUUGUAAAUCUGGCUUGAAGUUUCAAAAUUAAAGUGUAAACUUUCAAAAUUAAAGUGAUAAUGAUUAAUUUAGUAACAUUUACUUUUAUACUUUAUGUAUCCAUAUCAUAUAUGAUUUGUAUAGAUUGAUAUAUAUAUUCUACUUUCAUAUGGAUAAAAAAAAUCUUGCUUAUUUGGUCGGCCUGUUGCAUGUGCCCAAAUGAGCUUUUUUGGCGGUAUUGAAGAAUAACGCAUCUUUUAUUUCUAACUUUUUUAUUUAGAUUUUUCUAAUUAAUUAAGUUCAAAAAAAUUUAUUAAUUUUUAUAGCUCAAUUAACUUGUAGUAGUUAAUUAAUCUUAUUUUGUACGCUACAAAGCAGUUUAAGAUAAGUGAAAGAAUCUAAUGCAUUAGAUGGAUGAAUGUAAAUCUUGCACCUGGGAAUGAGGUAUAUGAAUAGCAUUCUUUAUACUCUUCUGUAAAAAUCUAUGAAGACCCCCUCAAAUGUUUGCGCUUUUUAAGUGUCCGGCCCCCUCAAUUUACCCUUUUUUGAAUUAACACUCCCUCAAUCUUAAUUUGUUAAAAAUUAAACUAUUUUGUCAUAUAAAUUAUAUAUUCAUCAAAUUUAUCAAUAAUUUUUAUUACAUUUAAAAAUUAAUUUUAGUAAUAAAUUUAUUUUUAUUAAUAACUUUAAUUAUUUUUAGUAUUUAAAACUAGAAUAGCCCAGUUGAGUAGCUAAAAAUCAGAAUUAAUAGUCCACCUGAGCAGCUAAACUUAAUUCAAACUAAAAGGAAACAGAACUUUAAAAAAUUUUGGUCCUCAAACUAUGAGUGGGAUGACAUUUUGGUCCUCAAAUUUUAUAAUAUCUUACUUAAAUUUUUUGUAUUGUUGUAAUUAAGUAACACAUUUCAAUUUAGUUGACUAAAUAUUGAUAAGUUGUUGGUAUAAAAGUGAUAUAAUAACUUAAUUAUUAUCGCAUAAUCAAUCACAACACUCAACACAGCACUUCUCAUCGAUGAUUUAUCAAAUAUUUAAUCAACUAAAUUAAAAUCUGUGCGACUUAAUUGUAAUAAUUUUAAAAAGCUAAUAAAAAUUUAAGGAUCACAGUACCACGUUCCACAUUGUUUAAGGACCACAGGUGUAAUUUUUCCGAAAUUUUUUUAAAAGAAAAAAUCAAAGUUGAAGUUCCUGUUUCGAAAUUGUCUACAGUUGAGAGGGAUCUCCGCGCACUUCUCAUCGUAUGCUUUUGUUACCGUGCGAGCUCAGGGUUAAAAUGAUUAGUCCCACAUCGGGAUUUAAACCACACUAUUCCCUCGUCUUUAAUACGUCAAUGCGACCGUUGUGACGUGGGGGAGCGGCAGGAGGCGUCAUCGCAUCUGUUUAUUCAAACAACGCUCGUGCAGCGUUCUAAACCCUAAACCUUCCCCAAUUUGGCGGGAAAUUUGCGAAAAAAAAAAAUGUUUCUCGAAAAGCGGGCCCACUUUCUCCGGGGUUUCCGGCCUAUCAAAAAAAACCAAAGGAAAAAAAGAAAAACCCCGAUGCCUUGCGAUGAUGAUGCCUCCCCUGUUGUUGUGAUUUGCCGCGGAAGGUUCGUAGGGGGCUCCUCACAAGCCGAUCAUCCUCGCCUUCCACACCCCCCCUUUUUUUUUUUUUAAUUGUGAGAGCUAUAAUAAAUAAUAUUUUGAUUUUUAAAUCACUAUUUUUCAUAAUUUUGAUUUGAACUUUUUGAGCUCGUUAUGAUUUAGUUUUGUAAGUUUUGUUUUCUGAUUUGUCGUAUAUUUAAAAAAAUUAGAAUUUGUGGAGAAUUGAAUUUUUUUAAGCUAAAUUAUCGUUUUAGUUCUUUAAAUUAUAAGACGUGUGAUACAUUGAUUUUCAAAUUAUUAUUUUUUAUAACUUGGGCUCGAGCUUUCUAAAUCGUUACAAUUAAGUUUCAUAAUUUUUGUUAUCUGAUUUGUCGUAGAGUCAAAUAUAUUUCUAUUUCAAAAAAUUUUGUAUUUUUAACUUUCAAAUUACAAGACGUGUGAUACUUUGAUUUUUAAGCUGUUACUUUUUUGUAAUCUUAAACUAUAAUUAAGUUUUAUAAUCUCUGUUAUUUUUUAUUUUCAAACUACUAUUUCUUAUAACUUUGGCUCAAGCUUUUUGAAUCGUUACAAUUAAGUUUCAUAAUUUUUGUUAUCUGAUUUGUCGUAUAAUCGAGUAUAUUUCUAUUUCAAAAAAUUUCAUACUUCUAGAUUUUAAAUUAUAAGACCUGUGAUAUUUUGAUUUUUAAACUAUUAUUUUUUAUAAUUUUAAACUAUAAUAAAGUUUUAUAAUCUUUGUUAUCUGAUUUGUCGAAUAUUCAAAAAAUUAUAAUCUGUGGAGAAUUUUUUCAGCUAAAUUAUACCUUUAUAGUUCUUAAAUUAUAGAACAUGUGAUAAACUGAAUUUCAAACUAUUAUAUUUUAUAAUUUUGGUUCGCGCUUUCUAAAUCAUUAUAAUUAAGUUUCAUAAUUUGUGUUAUCUGAUUUGUCGUAGAGUCAAACAUAUUUCUAUUUCAAAAAAUUUUGUAUUUUUGGUUUUUAAGUUGCAAGACGUGUGAUACUUUGAUUUUUAAACUAUUAUUUUUUAUAAUUUUAGACUAUGAUUAAGUUAAGUUUUAGAACCUUUAUUAUCUGAUUUUUCGUAUAUUCAAAAAAUUAGAAUAUGUGGAGAUUUUUUUUCAGCUAAAUUAGAAUAUGUGGAGUUUUAUAAUCUUUAUUAUCUGAUUUGUCGUAUAUUCAUAUUCUAUUUUUUUUUCAAAAAAUUAGAAUAUGAUAUACUUUGAUUUUCAAACUAUUAUUAUUACUUAUAAUUUUGGCUCGAGCUUUCUGAAUCUUUACAAUUAAGUCUCAUAAUUUUUGUUGUCUAAUUUGUCGUAGAGUCAAAUAUAUUUCUAUUUCAAAAAAAUUCAUAUUUUUAGUUUUUAAAUGAUAAGACGUGUAGUACCCUUGGCUUUGAGUUGGAGACGUUUUGCGCAAAAUAGACGUAAAAACGGACUUUGAAACUCAAGAUUUUUAUUGUAGAGGACUAAAGUGAAAAAUCUAGAUGUAUAGGGGCUUAUGGGCAAUUGUUUUUACUUAGUCGGUGGAGUCCACGUGGUCCUCCAUUCUCUAUUCUCAUCCUUUCUUUUUGUUUUUUUUUUUUAUUAUAUUGCCAAGUUGUGAGCUAAUUAAUUAGCAGGGUAGCAUUGGGUUCGUUCGUGCGAGCGAGCAAGGCGAGCGAGCGAGUCAAGUGCGCGCGUCAUAGUAGCGCCGUUGGAGGCUGGGCGAGCGCGGAAUUUCUUUUCCUAUUGACUUCUCGCUGUCGUGGAUUAGCGUUUGAAAUGGGUUUAUCAUCGGAUUUCUACUCCUAUAGUCCCGUUGGUCGACAUAUAUAAUUAGUGUAUAUUCGUCGUUAUUGUUUUUAGCUCAAAUUCAUAGUUAUGCAUGUUUUAGACAUAUGAAUUAAAUUUGGAGCAUGUUAUUAAGUGUUAAUAAUUAUAUAUGUUGGACUUGAAUAUGAUAUAAGAGAAAACCAGCGUUCGGGACCUGUCAUAUGUUAAACUACCUAAUUUAGCUCUAGGAGCCGCUGUAUUUUUAUACUGUUGCAGUAUUCUUAUGGUGAGUACCCCAGAUAGUUCAAAUUACUGUUACGCUCAUGCUGGGAUGCCGAGCCGAUUUUUACAGUAGUGUUUAUAUUGUUCCGGACUAGUGGGUGCCGUAGUGGUUGACGACGGACUUAAUUAGAUUUGUCAUUUUGAUAUUAGACUGUGCCGAGGGCACGUGACUAGUUAGUUGGUAGUCCAGUUAGACCUUAUUUAUUUGACCGAGCCUGUGAGAGCCAGAAUGAAACGAUAGAGACACUUGUAAACUCGUUGGGUCGCGCCCACGAAUGACAUUCCGGAAUGAGGUUUCAGUGCAAUGAGUGUCACAGUUUUUGUUAGACAGUUCUUGAGCCGGCCACCCUCGGGGUGGUGUACGGCGUAGCGGGAUACAGGCAGGGUGGGUCCGUUUGGACAGCCCGGGUGAGAUAGCCAGUGACUUUUACUACAGUUGGUUAGUGUAGAGCAUUCUAGUGUAGGAACAUAUAGCUGUAGAUUUCUUUCUAGCUUUUUCUUACUAGCUCUGUUCCCUUCUGUAGACUUAAUGGGUGAACCGAUGAUGUUGAGGGCGGUACCUACUGAGGACUACUUGUUUUUACAGUAGUUCUCACGCCCAGUUGUUACCACUGUUUUGCAGAGCCACCGGUUCCGGCUGCUGCACCUUCUGAGGCUGAUCGUGGUAAGGGCGUUGCGAGCUAGAGCCCUACCCGACGAGUCGCUGUGAUAGAGGAUCACCAGCUGCAGGUAGUCGUACUUUUGGUUUUUGAGUUCAUGUACAUACAGUUGUUGUAACUCGCUGGAGCGAGUACUUUUGGUCUGAUCUUUAUGUAUGUAUAUGAGACUUGUUUUAUUCUACCUGUUUAGUUUCUUUACAGCUCUAUACUACUGGUUAUAGUAUUGUAUGUUUUAUAAUUACCGUUACGUUUCGUAUAUAGAAAAAAUUCUUUGUAUACGGCGGAUUUGUCGGCGUGCCCGGGGAAUGUGUAAUCCGGGGCGUGACAAGACGUGUGAUACUUUGAUUUUUAAACUAUUAUUUUUUAUAAUUUUAAACUAUAAUUAAGUUUUAUAAUCUUCGUUAUCUUUGAUUUUCAAACUAUUAUUUUUAUAAUUAUGGCUCGAGCUUUCUGAAUCGUUACAAUUAAGUUUCAUAAUUUUUAUUGUUAGAUUUAUUGUAUAGUCAAAUAUAUUUCUAUUUCAAAAAAUUUAAUAUUUUUAGUUUUUAAAUUACAAGACGUGAUAUUUUAAUUUUCAAACUAUUAUUUUUUAUAAUUUUGAUUUGAACUUUCUAAAUCGUUGUAAUUAUGUUUUAUUGUUUUUGUUUUCUGAUUUGUCGUAUAUUCAAAAAAUUAGAAUAUGUGGAGGAUUUUUUUCCAGCUAAAUUAGAGUUUUAGUUCUUAAAUUAUAAUACAUUUGAUACUUUCAUUGUAAAACUCAAAGUUGUCCAAAAUAUCCGAUAUAUCAUACUCGAUUCGAACCCUACCCAAACCCUAUCAGGACCCAAACCGGACCCGUUAAAAAAUGGAUAGUAUAAGGGUAAAAAAAAUUACAAAUUAAAGUUUCGGGUAUAGGUCUGAAUAUUUUAUACCUAUACCCGAUUUGGACCCGACCCAAAUCCAACUUUUAAAUGGGUAGGGUUCAGAAUAAUUUUCAAAUCUAGACCCGGAUCCGGACUCGAUGAAAUAUCUGAUAGUAAAUAAAAAGGUUUUGAACUUUGAAGUUGAAGAAUCAAUUUUAAUAGAACUUAUAGAUGAAGGGUCUCUAAGUAUUUUCAUUCUAGAGAAACAUUGAAAUCCUAGCCGCUCUUUUACUCUUUUUGUUUCUAAUCUUUUUACUCUUUAUUUUUUUUAUUUCAUUUCCGUCUAAGAAUUUUUUAUGAAACAAUAUUUCCAUCGUCGUCAUCAUCAGCGAUAUUAAUUCUGUACAGGCGUGACACAAGUGAGUUUUUCCCAAAUCCCUUCUCCAAUUAUAGUCGACAACCUUGUUUUUUUUAAUGGAUAUUCUAUUUAGUAAAUUUUCUGAUUUCUCUUUUUUUUUUUUGAAUGUUAGUAUAUAAUAUUAGUAAUUAUUACAACUUAUAUAUUUUUUUAUCUAUAAUAUGAUAUCAUAAUUUUUUUAUUUUUAUGUGUUUACAUAUGAAAUUGGUUUGAAUUUUAUAUUUUUUUAAUCAGUCAAUAUAAUAGCUGAAACAAACCUUGUCCAGACAAUUUAAUAAAGUAUAUAAAAUAAUAUAUAUAUACAGAUAUUUGUAUCUGAUUUAGACCUGACCCGUACCCGAUAUUGAAUGGGUAGUAUACGGAUAGUCACUAUCCAAACCUGCUCAAAUAGACCUGAUGGUUAUAUUAGUAACUUAAGUAUUCAGACCCGGACUCGACUCGAAGUUAAAUGGUUAGGGUUUUUUUUUUUUUCUAACCAUUUUCUUUUACAGUAUAUCAACUAUCCAGAACCGACCCGGUCCACGGACUUCUUUAUUCAAACUAUUAUUUUUUAUAUUUUGACUCGGGCUUCCUGAAUUGUUAUAAUUAGGUUUCAUAAUUUUGGUUAUCUGAUUUGUCAUAUAUUUUUAUUUAAAUAUUUCUAUUUCAAAACAUUAAAUUCUCUAGAGGGUUUUGUUAAAGCUAAAUUAUACUUUGUUUUCCAAGCUAUAGUUUUUUAUAAUUUUGAUUCAAAAUUUCUAAAUUAUUAUAAUUAAGUUUUAAAAUUUCGUUAUCUAAUUUAUUGUAUAUUUCGAGUGCGUCUGGUAUGCUUAUGGAAGCACGGAGCGCUCCGUGCUUCCACUUUGUUUUCAAUGUUCGGACUUUCGAAUCGACGAUCGGCUCCGUUGGACUUUAUCUAGAGUAUUUGAAGUAUCUAGAAAAUAAAUUUUGCGAUUUUUCGAUAUCAUUUGCCUAGUGAUCGAAGUGGCUCAAAAUCAACGGCUGAAAAUAAAAUCUUACAAAAUAUGAUGAUAUGAUAUUAAAAUUUUAGAUCAAAGUUAUUGAUCUUGUUUUAUAUGGUAUAAAGAAUUUUCUAUCAAAAUUUCAUGCAAUUUGGAUAUUUCUACACUGUUGAACUUGCAACCGGCUCACCACGGCCAUUAAAAUUAUUGAUUUUGAGCCCUUCGAUCACUAGGCAAAUGAUAUCGAAAAAUCACAAAAUUUAUUUUCUAGGUACUUCAAAUACUCUAGAUCAACUCUAAUGGAGCCGAUCGUCGAUCCGAAAGUCCGAACAUCGAAAACAAAGUGGAAGCACGGAGAGCUCCGUGCUUCCAUAAGCAUACCAGCCUACUCGUAUAUUUCUAUUUCAAAAAUUAUUUUGUGGUGGAGCAAGAAUCAUGAUGAUGGGUUUUUUUAGUAAAUAAUGAGACAUGUGAAAUUUUGGUUCUCAAAUUUUAAUUUGUUAAAUUUUUUUAUUUGAACUUUUUUAAUUGUUAUAUCAAUCACAAUCCAAUUUGUAGGUCGUAAGCGCCAACCAAUUAUCCCAAAAGCACAUACUAAUGGAAAGGGUGUACCCAUCGCACUGAAGGGCUCAACCACAAUGUUCACGGAUUUUGACCUGACACAACCAACCUAAAUGUUAGGUCUAUUGUUGGGCCUCUUACCAUUAGGUCUAUUGUUGGGCCUCUUGCCAUCAGGUCUUUUGUGGACCGCAGCAAUUAACUUAUUAGUUUCAUGCAACUCAACUUAUUAGUUUCGCAGGCUUUUUGUCAUAGGGCAGGAAGUUUGAUUUAUUUCAGCCCAAUAAUAAAUAACCAACAAUCCCCACCCCAAUAUCUGCACCGUUAAUGUAGUAUGUGGGAAUCGAACUUGCGCUGCAGGCUCUGAUACUACUUGUUGAUCGUAAACGCUAAUCAACUAUUCCAAAAGCACGUGCAAAUAGUAAGGGCGAACUCAUCGCACUCAAGGACUCAACCACAGCGCUCACGAAUUUCGACCUGACUCAACCCACCUGAACGUUAAGUCUAUUGUUGGACCUUUCGCCAUUAGGUCACUUGUGGACCGCAGUCCCACUCAACUUAUUAGGCUCACCCAACUCAGUUUAUUAGUUUUCUAGACCUAUUGUUACAAAACAGCAAGUUGGACAUAUUUUAGCCGAAUAAUAAAUAGCCAACACAAUUUAGCUAAUCAAAUAUUAAUAUGUCACUAAUAUGUGAAGCUUAUUUUGGUUAAAUUAGUCUUUUGGUCCAUAAGUUUUGAUGAGCAUGACAUCUUAGUUCUCAAACUUUAGUUUGUCAUACUUUUUUAUUCGAGCUUUCUAAAUUAUUACAAUCAGUCUCUACACCUCGAUUUAGUUGACUAAAUAUUAAUGUAUCGUAAAUAUGAAGGAGAUAUAAUAUUAUCGUGAUUGAUAAUACGACAAUAAUUAAAAUGCUAUAUCAUUUUUACAUCAGUGACACAUUAAUAUUUUUUGUUCUAGCAAUUUAUAAAGUAUGAAUAAAAAAAUUAUUAUAAAUUAAAGUUUAAAAACAAAAGUAUCACACGUUUUAUAGUUUUUAUCACUAAUAUUUUUAUUUCUGUUUAAAAAAUUGUUUUAUGUAGAGGAAUGGCAAAGAAUUCUUUUCCCCCAGUAGUUUUGUUAAUUAGUUAUCUGAUUUGUAAGGUUUUUUUUUUUUUUUUUUCACCAGUAUUUUUAUUAGAACAAUAGUGUUAUAGAUCUAAAAGUAGAUGUAAAUUUUAUACCUUCUCCAUCUAAAAGUUUAUCUUUUGUGGUAGUUUUAUCUCGCCUUUUUCAUUUCAUAAGAAGUGUAGUUAGAUAAAGAUUUUUAGUUUUUUUCCCUAAUUUUUUUGUUAUUUGGUUUAUCAUAUAUUCCUGUUCAAAAAAGUUGUUUCAUUAGUUCUAAAGAGAGAAAUAAUUUGGCCUUUUCAGUAUUAUUUUGAAAAAAAAAAAAAAGAAUUUUGGUGCUCAGGGUUGGACUGUUGGAGCCCCGGGCUCAAUCCUCACGGCAUUGGGGCCUAUCUACACAAUGUGCAUGUGCAAAGAGAGCCCAUUAUCACGAACCUUAGACUUCGUUUGGUUAGAGUACAAAUAAGAAAUGCUUAUUUUAGAGAUAGAUACAAGUUCAGAUAUAAACAAGAGCUAUAUCAAUUUUGCAUUUGAAUGAAAAAUAGGUUGUUUUCGAUAAUAAGAAAAUUAGUAUUUGGAUGAAUAAGAUGAAAUAAGAAAAAUAGUGGGCAGUUGUAAAUAAAAAAUGAUGAUAUUACUUCUCUCAUUAAAUUUAAAUUUAAAUUUUUAAAUUUCAUACUUAAAUUUUUAAUUUUCAAUUUUCAAUUCUAAAUUUUAAAAUUUAAAAUUCAAAUUUAAAAUAUAAAAUUUAAAAUCUCAAGUUGUAAAUUUUAAAAUUCAAAAUUUAAAUUUUAAAUUUUAAAAUUUAAAUCAAAUGUAAAUUUAAAAAAUAUAAAAUAUCAAAUUUUAAAUUUAAAAAUUUAUGGUGUAUAAAAUAUUAGUACACAUUAGGUGUAAGUAAAGAUUUUUUCUCUUUCUCUUGGAAUUAUAAAUAUACUCUAUUAAGCAUUCUCUAUACCGGAUGUAUAUGAGAAUAUACACCACAUACUUCAAACAUUUAAUAGAGAUUGUAAAAUUUAAUUUAGUAAAUAUAUUGAAAUUAUUAGACUUUGUAAUUUAGAUAUAUUUAAUUAAGUUUCGAUAUUAGAAAUUAGUUUUUUAAUAUAUAAGUUGUGGUGUAUGGUGUGUUAAUAUACACCAAGUACAUAUAAUAAUUUCUUAUUUCUCCAAUCAAUAUUAACUAGAUAAGAAUAACAUCAUAUAUUUGCAAUUUAGAAUUAAGUCUCCAAUUUUAACUUUUUAAUUAAAAAUAUAUUUAUAGAAUAGCUACUAAAAUUACUAAGUUUGAUUGAAUUUUUACAUGAAUUUAUUAGAAUACUUUAACUCUACAAAUACUGAAAAUUAAAAAGUAUUAAUAAAAAAAAAUAGAUUUACAAUGUAUAGAAGGCUAUAUGAAUUUUUUAAAAUUUUAUCAUAUUUUUCAAUUUUAAAAUUUUAAUAAAUAUAUAUUAAUUGACUGAAAUACUAUCGAUCCGUCGGAAAGCGCGGGCCCCUGAACUUAUAUUGAAGACUCUAGAAACGAAUAUUCUAAGCAGUAACAACGACUCCUCUAGUGUGCGUCAUCACCGGUCCUCGUGAAAGAGAUGCAAAUUAGUAGUAUUCAAACAACCAAUGCUGGUCUACUUUCAUAUAUAUUAAUUGACUGAAAUACUAUCGAUCCAUCACAAAGCGCGGGCCCCUGAACUGAAGACUCCAGAAACGAAUAUUCUAAGCAGUAAUAACGACUCCUCUAGUGUGGGUCAUCACCGGUCCUCGUGAAAGAGAUGCAAAUUAGUAGUAUCCGAACAACCAAUGCUGGUCUAUUUUCAUUUUGUUCCAUUUUGCCAUUCCGUAUUGGAGUAGCUGUAAAUUGACAACGAACUUGUACCAACCGUAGCUGAAAUAGUGCACCAUUGAAGCUCCAUUUGGAGCUAAAGGUGUGUUUGGUUCCACGUAAAACUGUGAAAAAAAAAUUUUCGAUAGAAAAUUUUUUUUCAUAUAUUAAAUAGAUGAAAAACUAUUUAUUAUUUUUUAUUAUAUAUUAUUAAUAUAUAAUAAUUAAUAUAUUUUAUAUAUUAUUAUAAUUUUUAUAUAUAGAUUAAAUAUGUUUAAAAUUAUAAUAAAUAUGUUACAUCAUAUAUAAUAUAUUUAGAAAUAUUAAUAAAUAAUUACAAAUUUAUAAAUAAAAUAUUAUAUAUAUAAAAUAAAUAUAUAUAUUUAUAAAUAUGUAUAAUAAUUUUUUUUUCACAACGGUUUUUUGGUUGAAAGAAAAAAAAAAUAGAUAAAAAACUAUUUAAUAUAUUUUUAAUUAUAUAUAUUAUUAAUAUAUAAUAAUUAAUAUAUUAUAUAUAUUAUUGUUAUAAGUUUUAUAUAUAAAUUAAAUAUAUUUAAAAUUAUAAUGAACAUAUUACAUCAUAUAUAUAUAUAUAUAUAUAUAUAUAUAUAUAUAUAUAUAUAUAUAUAUAUAUAUAUAUAUAUAUAUAUAUUAUAGAUACAAGACAACUAUAAGAAGUAAGUACGUGUAUAUGGCAUGCCAACGACUGCAUAGACAUAUAGGUGGCAGACAUAUGCCGUCAAUGGGACAAUCAGUCCAAAAUACCCAAUCUCGAAACCAUGCUCAUCCGGUUUGGUCAAGCACCUGCAACCUCAAGCCAAGUGCCCUGGAGUCCGCACCGCAACACUCCCGACAGUACCCUGCCCAAUUAGCUCUACAUAUGCAUAUAACCCCUUCUAGGGCUCACGGGUUGUCACCGAUUUCUAACCACUUUUUCGGAAAAGAACAUCCUUGCGCGUGGAUCAGACCGCCAGUCGUCGUGAAUGCGACGAGUUAAUCGGGCGAUCAAUGGCAAUAUGGUCAAUGAUCAACCGUCCGGCAACCAUGCCGACAAUCCUGCCCCCCAGGGCCUAAUCGAGCAUAGGUCAUCCCUUCCAAGAACCGCCCUCGUCACUAGGAUGGACAGACCAUCGACAUCCUCUCAAACAUAUCAAAAUACUGACUAAUCAUCAACUGGGAGAUGGAACAAACUCACAAUCUCUUAUACCACAAGCAUUGAUAGAUACAUGAUGCAAAUGAGUCAACUACUGAUAUUAUGCCAAGAACGGUCAAACAAGUUAUUCUAUAUAUGGAUCUAGAACUACCGUCGCCCCAACAUAGUCCACAUACCUAGCCCUCAGUGUACAACGCGACCUCGAAAGGUCAGUCAACAAACAAGAGUCAAGAGACAAACCGACUAUAAUACGCACGACCUAUAAGAUACAAGAACAAAUCAACAUAACUCACCGCUUUCACAUAAAAUCACGAAAUACCAGAGCAUCUACUCUAAACAUCGAUACAGAUAAUGAGAAUACAUAAGUAACCGCAAUAAAGAAAUAUGGUAUAACUAACUCGUACUCCUAAUCAUUUGAUAUAUAAGAGAAACAACCGAGUAGAGUAGUAACUGAACAAACAUGGUGCUAGGCUCAACACUAUAUUAUCAACAGAUAUAUAUAUAUAUGCUAGAUAAUAACAAAAGCAAAGGUAAGAAACCCAUCACUCGGAGGCGUGCACCACUCGUACCGACGUCGAUCGAAGUACCCACCUGUUACCAACCUGUCGCGCCCUGUCUGCCUGACUCAAAAAGAACGUCAACAGACCUAAGAGUCCACUGGGUUAAGUGUCUAACCCACAACUAAGAAACCCUAACAGCAUAACUCCUCACAACAACCACUGAAUUACACAACCCACAGACAAUUCACGGAAAAUCGUUGUCCCAAAAACCGAUUACCGAACAAACUGAAAUCCGAGGAAAAAACGAAACCGCCCCACAAGAAAAACGCCGCACCACCAGACUCUGUCGGGACGCACCUGAAUUGUCUCGAAAACCACCGCACCAUAUACGAUCACCUGCUGCCCCAAAACAUUCAAUUUGAUGUUUUCAGCAAACACAAGAUAAACACGCACUACACAAUUAUCGUCGAAUAAUUGUACGAAUCCGGUCCCGAAAGUGUCUAUUUCGACCACCCGGAACCGAACCAUCCCCGCCUCCAACGUCGUCAUUCUAACUCCUCGAAAUGACGCGAGUCGAUCAACCAACAAGCUCACACUACACCUAUACGCUCCACAAGCCACCCGUGAACCUAAUUUCCCGAACCCGAAACCGCCAGCGUUCCGCGCGAUUCGCCGAGGACGCAUCCGAGCGAAAUAUACUUGUACGAUCUCCGGCACUAGGGCUUUCGGGGACCUUGACAAUCAGUCAGAGGGACUCACCCACAACACACUUACUACCAACUGCCCACAAUUAGCACACCAAGCCGCCGCCACCAAUUGGCACACAAAGUACUAUAGUGUUACCAUAAAGAAUCAUCAUUCUCUAAUGUAACAUCGGCGCGACUCACUAUGACUCGUUCUCACAGACUGAGGACUUUCUAAAUUUCCGCCAAGAACACGUACUGACAGGAUCUCGACGUGCCCGGAGCCGUUGCUCAAGGUCUAGACGCGCAACAGGUCACAGGGUGGAAGCCGGCGAGUAACGCCGAAGUUCUGGCAAACAGUGCGACAGUCGAGGAAGCAUCCGCGCCAAACAGGGCUAAAACCGACACUGUUGACUGCCAAGUGCAGGUGAGUCACCUGUGAUCAGCACUGACCAAACGAUUCACCGCGUGCUCCACCUCCGAGGCAUCAGGGACCAAGCCUCGGAUCGCCGGAUAAGCAGUGCAAAGCCAAACAGCAGCGCAAACAAGCUCUAUACGGGUCGCAAACGCCGAAAACAGCGGAACCGAUAAGUCGCACACGGCAGAAACUAAGGUGACGCACGAUGGGAGUUCAGUAAAUCUUGGGGCGGUACGGUGCGAGAUAAAAGCGUGCUCACUAUGCCGGUAGGAGAACGCGGAGAGACCUCUAGAGAGAGAUAAGGCCUAACAGAACAAUAGACCAUCCAAACUAAGCGUCCUAUUUCGAGCUUGGCCGGAUUUCAAGUCUUGUCGUCGCGGCCGCCUUCCGCGGCACGGCGGCGCGCGCGGAAGCCAGGGAUGGGUGACCCGGGGGAGGUGAGGAUAGUGGAAGGAUUCAACGAUCGCUAGAGAGUUACCAGUGCUCAAACGGUUGUCUCGAGGUUGAACGGGACGGUGGCGGCGGCGGCGCUCGCGGAGCAUACUUUAAGUCUAGGACACAAGAGAUCGGAGGCGUGCGAGUUCCCAAAGCGUGAGGCGGCGGCGCAUAUCGGCGCCGCGGAGCGGAGAGACCUCCGGGACGGCGGCUGAGGGUUGAUGGACGGCCGAGAAGGGUAGCUAGGGACCGGCGUCAGUUGGGCGGAGGACGCUGGCUGGGGCGCGCCGGGGGCUGGAGUAUCGAGGGCCAAGUUCUGGUGCAAACUAGAAGCAGGCGGCCGCCAGGGGCGUUGCAGCGCAAGACGGCGCGUCGCAGCGGCGCAGGGCGGCGGGAAGGACGCCGAGGGGCUUGGAAAGUCGGCCGGGGUGUCACGAUGGCGGCGGUGCGGAGAAAAGGCCGCCAGGCUUGCCUCGGCCUGCUCGCCUGGCGGCUGGCUGCUGCUGGAGCGGCACCGGCGGCGCUCCGCGGCUCAGGGCGCGGCGCCGCUGUGCUGAGGUCGAGGGAACGGGUGAUAACGCGCCAAGGGAGGAGUUUUGAGCCUCCCCUUGCUCGGGUCCAAGCCAGCUGGAGAAGUGAAGGUGGCAACAAGAAAGGGAGAGGGAACAAGAAAAAGGGCUGUGGUGGUGGUGCUGCCGCAGAUCCAGCUCGUGCGGCGGCCGGAGCUCGUGACGGCUAGGUCAGAGGAGGCAAGAACGUCGGACUANNNNNNNNNNNNNNNNNNNNNNNNNGGGUGCGGUUAGGGUUAACUAGGGAUGAUCUAGGGCUCGGAUCCCAAGAAAACCCUAGAAAACAAUAUAAGUAAGGCGCAAAAUUGCAAGAAAGUCCACCUAGACUUACUAUUUCAAGCUAAAUCCUUCCCAGCCUGAGUAAAAUGCGUGAAUACCCCUCCACGUGCGAUCUCACACAAAACGGUACAUAAAAUAUCGCGACUUUCGCAAAAAUACCAAUUUGCCCUCACCGAUCUCUCCUCGAUCAACGUGCGAUCUCCGCAGAUCCGUCCGUCGAAUUUGCGAACGGAUCACACCAGUGCGAUCAGCACCUCGGAGACAACAAAGCUACGAUUUCGUUUCACCUCAAACGGUCACGGAUUUGCGACGAACUCCACUCUCUCUCCAAAAGGCCAAAAAUCAAGCACAAUUACAUAAAAAACACGUUUUAUUGGAUUUUCUCGAAAUCCGUGCGUCAAACUCAAAAUCCGUCAGCGCCAUUAGUUCUAGAACAGCUGAACCGGUCGAAACGAGCUAUUGGACUGCUAUGAACGGAGUCCGAUACGCACCAGAAGCCAACUCUACUCCGUGGCUUCUCCGGAAAACCGGAGUUACUAUUCACUUAAGUGAAAACUAAAAAUCGCGUAUCUUCUCCAUUUUAGCUUAUUUUCUCCUGAAACUUGACGAGUGCUUAUGUAAUUAAAUUACACACAUAAACAUCAUCAACAGAGAGUUUAGUUGCACUGUAAAAAAUCUUAGUCCGUACACCCCAUUUUUCCAGGUGACUCGAGCGAGGAGUUGAUUCUUGGUGCGAUGGGAGGACGUACUAGCUAGACUGCAGCAGCGACCAUCACCCUAGUUAUGUUUCAUUUCCACAUUAGUAAUUUUAAAUAAUUAAAUGGUUCAGUUAGAUGAUCACUAUAAAUGUUUCAAUAUUUGUGAACUGGUUUGAGUUGAUGUUUUUCUAUGAUACAUGCGAUUGGAGAUUUAUGAAUGUAUAGUUUUGGAUUUACGUAUUUAUACAUCGUGGUUUUCUACCCCUCGAGGUAGUUGGUUUUCAAAAUGGAGUUUUCGAGUGGGAAACAGUUUUAAAAGGUUUCCAAAUGAUUUUAUGGAGGAUUAUAUAGAGUUUAAAAACAAAGCUUCUGGAUGGGAAGUACUUUUAAAUAGGAUGAGUAUUGUACUGUGCAUCGCAUCAUCCAGUGCCUAAGGAGUGCUUAGAGGCAUGCAUCAUCUCUAAGGAUCGUUAGCUGUAUGGAAAUGCAUCACAUGGAUUGUUUGUGGAUUGGUGAAUGUAAGUUGUUGUUGUGAUCCUGAUAUUGUUGUUGGUAUGCUGUGCAAAUACAAAGGAGACUCUGUCCGUAUGGUCAGAGGAAUUUUGUAUUUGUGGUAGGUCUGUACGUCACGUGGGCCGGGCUGAAUUCAAAAAAAAAAAUGGCACGUUUUUCGCAAUUCGGAUUUUAAAAUUGUAUU
Molecule: long non-coding RNA, 44425 nt
Filed under: Ananas comosus (pineapple)
Lineage: Eukaryota; Viridiplantae; Streptophyta; Magnoliopsida; Poales; Bromeliaceae
Description: long non-coding RNA (ACOM_LNC012381)
Rfam family: tRNA (bases 7252-7323)
Source: RNAcentral